GUACAUUGUUUUGGAGCAGGUCUUUUUGCUAGACUGUUUGAUGAAGAUCGUUGCACAGGGACUUAUUUUUGCGCCAGACGCAUACCUGAGUGACUGGUACAACAUCCUUGACUUGUUUAUUCUCGUCACCGAUGCGCUUAUUCUUCUGAAGUAUAACGCUGAGGAUGAAACUUCCAUACCAACCGUCGGUGCGUUUACUUCUCUUCGGCCAUUUCGUUUCGUGGUUCGGUUUACAGGACUGAGGUCAUUAUUAUCAAAUCUUUUUCGGACUAUUCCAGCAAUUGUGUCGGUUAUUCUCUUCACAUUUUCAAUUCUCUUGAUAUUUGGAACCAUCGGGCUGCAGCAGUUUCGGGGCCUUCUCUGGAAAUGCAAUGACCCGACAAUCACGCAUGUACCAGCCUCUAUGUUAAUGACAUCGGCAUCCUUCCUCCGCGAGCCUGGGUUAAUAACGUUUUCCAGUUCGACGACAUUCAGAAUGCCCUCCUCAAUAUGUUUGUCUGCUCCACUUUCGACAACUGGCUGACGCACUUCAUGUAUCCUGUCAUGGACAUCACUAGGGAAGACCACCAGCCUGUUCGGAACGCGAGUCCUGUCAACGCCUUGUUUUUCGUGGCACUCUGCUGUAUCGGGGGAUUUUAUAUCGUCAGAGUUUUCAUCGGGUGUUUAUCAACGAGUUUGGAAAAAUUUCUGGAGCAGUUCUUCUCACAGAGAGGCAGAAGCUGUGGAGGGACAUGAACCGUAUCAUCCAGAAAACUUAUUCUAUUCUGCUGGCCAGUCGGCAGUUGUUUCGGACCGGCGUCAGAUGACUCACUGUGCGAUUACAACAUAAUUCCUGCUCGAAUCCGUGAUGAAGUUCCUUGGCGACGAGGUACGUCAUUUAUCUUUUUCUCAAUUAUUUUUUGUUUGACCACCUGGUUUUUCCUUUCUCCAGUGGAAGGUCUAUAAGAACGAGGUUGCACGGCAGAUGGAGUUUGGACUCUCCAUAAUGGCCGCCUUGGUCUCAUGGGAAAGAAGGGAACGGUGAGGGGCUAUGUCAGCCGCACUGCCUACAUUGCUCGAGUUUUCUGCAUCAUUCUUCACGAGAGCACGGGUUAUUAUGCGAACAAUGUUCAUCUGUUUGGCAACUGUAGCUGAGAUACUCGCUCUUCUCGCAAUUUUCAUGUAUAUGUUCGCGGGAAUGGCGUUUCCAACUCUUCAGUGCAAUGAAGGAAGGGACCUGCAUUGGCCCGUCUGUCAACUUUCGCACUUUCGUCAACACUUUCAUCGCGGUGUUUCAGGUAAAGGCUUGUUUUUCUAUCACUUUCAGUUUCACUUUUCUUUUACAGGUUACAACUCUUGAUAACUGGUCUUGCGUUAUGAUGGAUACCACAAUUGAUGCACCCGCCUGCACCAACGGUAAAACACUACUCGGUGAUGAUUGUGGAGGGCGGCAUUAUCUCCUUCGCCUUCUUGGUCUUGGUCGGGAGUCGCAUAUUCAUGAACUUGUUCGUGGCUGUCAUACUGGAUGCUGUAACCUUCGGCCUUGUGAACAAGAACUCUAUGAUCAUGCCAGAGCACCUGUUAGCAUAUCGAAAUUGGUGGAGCCAAGAAUGAUUCGAUCCCAAGUAAGCCACUUACGUUCAAGUCCUUGUAGAACUAACUUUAUAAUCGUCCAGUGCUACAGGAUACAUUGGCAUGCACAAGCUGCGACGAUUUGUAAACGCCCUCGGUGACCCGCUGGGCCGGCGCUACAAGUCCGCGACCCAAUGGUUUGGCGUGUGUUUGCGGAGUCCUCCCAAUCUUGAUUUUUUCUUUGUUCUGCCCAGGUACAUGAGAAUAGAGUACGAGGCAAUGAGUUUUCGAGUUCCAAACAAAGGAAUCCCUUUCAAGGAGCUGCUGGAAACGCUGACGCUGUAUAAGAUCGGACCAACUGUAAGUAGCUGCUAUUCCAACCUUUUGAUACUUACGCUUGGCUCGGAUUAACACAGGGGUUGCCUCUCACUCUGCGCAUCGAGCGUGAGAAGCGGAUCCAGGCCGUGUACAUCCAGGGCGCUGCGACGAAAAUGCAGGCUCUCGUGAGAGGUUUCCUGGCGAGGAUAAGAGCUGGCAAAGGUGGUGCUGCUGUGAGCAAAACCGAGGUGGCAGCUCAGCAAGAAUUGGAAUCGACAAGGAGCAAACCCGAGGUGCUAGAGAUUGCCAGAGGCGAAGCUCUCCUGGUGGGAGAAUAGUGGUGCAGUCGCAGUUUUGUAACGAUUUAUCCUGAGAUUGGGGCGGUCCUCAAGCCAAGGUGGAAUUUUCAUGCCUUUCGGGCAGGAUAGCGAUUCCAGCCUGGCUCUUAUUGUGGGACCACAGUGCAUCGUUCUGUAUCACGCUUGGCCCCGAAAUGUCAAGAAAUUUCAAACCUGGCAGCGAUGCAAUGGACGAUGGAAUGAUAGUCUCAUCACAGCUCAAAUGCACGAUUUCUAUAUCAGUCAUUUGAUCUGAUGGCAGCGAUGCAAUGGACGAUGGAAUGAUAGUCUCAUCAAAAUGCACGAUUUUUAUAUCAGUCAUUUGAUCUGAUGGCAGCGAUGCAAUGGACGAUGGAAUGAUAGUCUCAUCAAAAUGCACGAUUUCUAUAUCAGUCAUUUGAUCUGAUGGCUCAAAGAAAUCAUUUUGCAUCUUCCUGCUGGAUACUGAAAGACGUUCAACCUUGAGUGAUGACCUCUCAGUUGGCAACAAAAGUCUCUUUAUACAACCCGUUAUUCGCAGAGACUCGAGGCGAUUGGGGAGCUGUGUCACAAAGAGAGGCAAGUGCUCCCAUUCAAUAUCAGGAGCUAGCUCAAACCCCAACUCCUUCAGAUUUGGAAGACUGGCAGCCAAAUCAUCCUUGAAUUCUGACUGUGCAAUCUGUAGAUUAGUAAGACUCAGAUCUCCAAGACGUGGGAAUGAUCCAUCCAGGUUGAAGAAGUGGAUACGAUUGCAGUUAAUAAAAAGUGUUUCUAGGCGGUGGAAUAACCAAGAUAAGUUUAUGAUAUCACGGAUGUCUAGAUAUCGUAGUUGCAACCAUUCGAAGCUGUCAUCACUAUUUUCACUGUCUUCUACCCCAACGAUGGAAAAAUGUUGAAGCUUGAUUGAUUUCAUAAACAUUCGUUUCCAAGCAGCUCUGCUGAGGGUUUCCACAUGAAUUUGACAUUUUGUUAGGUUGACAAGUUGCCAUAACCCAACGAAAGUGGCAAAGUCGAUGUUGUUUGCAUGUAAAACCAAUGUUUCAAUGUGCUCCAGUGUCCCCAUGCUUUCUGGCACCUUCAUUGUACCAUGUGUCAUUCUUAAAUGUCUUAGUUUACGCGAAAUUCCAGUCAAAUCCACAACUGAUGACUCCUCUUUUGAAUCAAGCCUCAGCUCCAGCUCUUCCAAGUUGGAGAGCUGGGGCAGUAAUGCAAUGUUACACUUCGUCGGCCUCCACCUUGUACAUUUUAGAAAUUUCAGUGAUGUCAGGCUGAAAAGCGCAUCUGGUAAUUGCCUCACAUUUGUUUCUCGAAUGUCCAGCAGUUGAAGGUUUUUCAGCUUGGAUAUGCUCUCUGGAAUAGAAUGGAUCUUAGAGCAUCGCCACAAGCUCAAUACCUUGACCCCUUGUAUGUGAUUGAUAAGACUGUCAUCCACAUUAGAAAGUUCUUUACAUUUAUCCAGAAGUAUGACAUCUCGCACAUGAUUAUCGGAUAGAAAGCUGCCAACAUUCUUUGAGAUGAAUGAGACUUUAGCAAAUGUUGCAUUCUGAAUGCCACUUGUCCAGUCAUAUCCAAACAGGCAUCCCUUCUCGUGCUCUUGCUGUGGACUGUACUUCCCUUUUAAGAUUCUUAUGCAUAGUUUGCGUAGCAUAUCGUGUACGAUUAUAAAAUCUGUUAUUGGGUGCUUACGUAUCUUGACCAGGCAUCUCCGUUCCAGUUCAUUGACAAUCGCUGUGGGUGAGAGUUCUGACCCAACCUCCAUCCAACAUUUCCUCAACUCAGUUAACCCAAUCGACCUAUCUUCUGGGAAUGCAGCCACAUAGAGAAAGCACUCCUGCAGCUUUUCAUCCUCAGCGUUUCCCAGCUCGUCAUAGCUGAACUUCAAGCGCUUGAACAUCUGCUUCUCAACGUCUGGGUCAUUGGACAAGUGCAACCUCUUAUAUCGUUCUUCCCACACUUGUGGCCCUUCACUUCUGUGGACAGCCAUGGCACUGCCAAUCACUUCCAGAGCGAGAGGAAGUCCCUCACAUUUCCGAGCUAUUUUCUCUGCAACUUCCACAACACCAGGUUGUGGAUCAUGCACACCGAAGGCAAACUUCCAAAACAUCUUUUUGCUUUCGUCCAUUGAUAGCUCAUGCACAGGAAAUGCCUUUGCAUCCGGAUGCAAAAUGCCUUCCUUUCUGGUUGUCACCAGGAUCCGGCCAGAGGAUGGCCCUGCUAUAAAAUCCAGUUCCUUUGCCCAGCUCCUGUCCCACACAUCAUCCAGUACCAGCAAGACACGGUUACCACCAGCAACAUCGCGUGCCAAGUGCUUCAUGUCGUCAAGGGUUCCUCUGGCCCUCUCUUUCAUUUCACCCCAUUCAAGAUCCACACAAUGUUGUCAUGGAAAUGCUCCCGCACCCUCCGGUCAUUGUGCGCGAGGCUUGCGACGGUGGUCUUUCCACACCCUCCCAUUCCAAAGAGUCCAACCCAUUUGCUAGGGGCUUCGGGAUCCAAGAGGGCAUUCACCACCUCAUUCAGCAGUUGCUCGUGGCCCCCAAACAUGGCCUCAGGAACAACGCGCGGUACAUAUUUUUUUGCAGGGCCUCUAUCUUGCGGGAAAUUCCGUACGGCGAAGCUAGUGCUCGGCUGUAUCACUUUCAACUCUUCUCGCUCGUACCUUUCAAGCUUCGGAAGGAGAUCGCCCUCGUAGCUGUGUAUCAGCUCUGAGAUCUCGUCACAACGCUUCUCCCUGUGAAACAUCCAUAGAUCUUUUAGCUGUACUGUAAGAGCUCUUGUGUAAACUUACUGUGGUCCCAGCAGUGCUUGCGCCUUGUCGUUCCAUUUUGUGACAAGAUCAAGCCACUCCUCGGCUCCAUCAGAGUAGCGGAACUCUGGAUUCCGGUGCUUGUGAGCAUUAAACUUGUUAAGCAUGGCCUGGAUGCUGGCCGCCGCCUUCUCCAGCAUCGCAAUGUCCACCUUCAGCUCGUGCCCGUGACUUUCCAUCUGCGACAGGAGAUCCUGGUAGGAGCUGAAGCACUCCAUGAUCUUGCCACUCCGCUUGUACCUAUAGGGAGAAAUAAAUUCAGCCUUGUUGCACAAAAAUGCUGCAAAACAUACCGUCUAACGGGGCUCCAGAUCCUGUUGUUGCGUGAUCUCAAGAGUUCUUGCGCCUUGCUAUUCCAUUUCUUGACACGCUCCAAGCAUUCCUCGACCGCUUCAGAAAACAUAAAGCCACGUCCAUUUCGCUCCUUGUGGCGACCGAAAGCGUCGAUCUUGGCCUGAAUGUGGGGUGCCAUGGCAUUCCCCAGCCUUUCAAUGUUGGCAUUGCAGUCCCAUACCUUCUUGGCAGCGUCCAUACCCAAGACACACAGCGGCCUCACCAAGCCGCUCACAACCUCCAUGAUCGAAAAAUCCUGUCCGCUUCAGCUAAAAUGGCACAGUUCUUACGUCGUCACGUGGUCUCCAGGUUGGCAGUCAAGUAGUUGGACGCGCUGGAGCUAGUGUCCUUCUCCUGGACACUUCCAGAGGCUCGAUUGGAUCGAUGGGACCUUGUUGAUCUGCGCGUUGUUGAUCCGCCGUGUCCAAACGGGUUUACCAUUCUACCGCCUGCCAGCUCAGACUUGGAGAACAUCGGGGGUUCGACUCCUGACAACUAUUAGCAACGGUCGCGGGUUCGACUCCCAUUGACGUCGUGCUCCAGUGUGGAUAAAAUUCUUUAAGAGCGUUGUCUAGCAAUAUGACGUGAGGCUCUUCCCCUUUCUCGGGUUUGGCAAGAUUCGAGGCCGUGCCCUCUGGCAUUGCUUUAAAACAACCGUGACGGCGAAAGUGAUUAGCCUAACCGUAGCAACUAGGCAAGUGGAUAUUCUUUCUUUCCUUGUUAUAUCGAUACAAUCCACAUGGCGUAAUACCCUAGGGAAAGCUCAGUGUGGAGGAGGCUGUAGGGUUACUGGGAAUCACAGGCUCUGCCACGAUGAUCCGGCGGCGGUGGUAUUGCGGAGAGAUGGUGGCGCCAGCAAUCAUCGCUUGAUGAGAGUGAGCAGCAGCAGGAGGAUUUGGAUUCCCAGGAUCGAUUCGCUUGCACGCGCGUGUGCGCGUCGGAUCGGAUGAUGAAGCAAGUGGGCAGCUUUGCAAAGAAUGUGACGCCCAGUUGUGUGGGGUCUUGGAUUUGGAUGCUUGUGCCGACGCGUGCGCUCGAUCCGUUUGUUCUACGCAGCAUUGGAACGAUGUUUGUAUGCGGCGAUGCUAGAGCGAGAUGAGACUGCUCGGCUCUAUGGGCGGUACAACGCCGACAAGAAAGAAGAGCUCAUAUUGACGGCGACGAGGAUUUCAUGGAUGAUCUUGCGGAAGCGCCACCGCCCCCAAAGAUCAUCCAGUGGGAACCAUCAGGGACUGCUUCUCCGGACAUAGAUUGGCCCUCUUUCGCUGUUCUAACUUCUCUCUGCCAGAAAAUCGAUCACGUCGCUUGGAAGGGGAGCGCAAGGCUUUAAAGCGGUGCAUUACGUCCAAGCAAUACGAGCUUGUAGCAAGGCAGCGCAGAAACUCCCGGAUUGCAGCAAAUGUUGGAGCCCGAGCUGAUGGAGUCCAGGUUACUCUCUCUCUCUCUCUCUCCAAGCCUAUAAUGCAUAACAUUUUUACUUUCAGGCUCUGGAGCUCGGGUUUUGUGGCCGAGCACUCUCGGACCAAAUGCUGCACAGCUGAGAAAGCUCCGGCUGCAUGGGAACUACGUCUGUCAGACUCGGAACUACAGGCGGUUAUACGAUCCAAGCUAUCAAUGCAGAGAAGUUUUUUCUCCUAUACUUUAUUCUUUCUUCUGUGAAACGAAAACGAUCGCAAGGAGAAAAGGCUAUUAUGGUAUCACGCGUUUUUGGAUUAGGGGGCUCUUGGCGGAGGGAGUUCGCCGGUGGAUGAGCGCUCUGAGGCGGCGACGCAAGCUAUGACGAUCGCCCUCUACAUCAGGGAUGUCCUAUAAAGAGGCAUAAUGUAGCUUAGCUAGUGAUUGAUCGAUCGCCUGGAAAUACUUCUUGCAGUGAUCCCGUCCCGCAAGAAGAUCACGAUUUCAUAGCUCCGCAUCCGACAUGGCUGCCUCCGAUUGAGCAAAGUAGCACCGGAUCGCGACCGAGCAGUGUCAUCGUCUUCAUCUGCCGCAUUGAUUGCCGCACUGGAUCAACUGGCCCCAGCGAUUCCCGAUUCCCGGGCAACCAAGAACUGCAAGAGGACUUACACUGCGAUCAAGAGGCUCAUGGUAACUUCACUUCUUUUGACUUUGGAGAGUUCUUAUGUUCUGUUUCUAGAAUAUAAGAAGAAAGGCAAGCCGGAGUGCUGUCGGGACUGGAGCAAGAAUGGAGGGCACUGCGCUUGGAAUUUGGAGCCUCUACAGCCCGUCACGCUUAUACAUUUUUAGGCUUCUCUACAAUCAGUACGUGGAUAGAAGUUUACCAUCGUUGUUUCCCCUCACACUUGUGUUUGCAGGAUUGAAAUGAUUUGACAAAUUUCGGCUCUUGGUUUUACCAGAGGUCGACACUGCUACGUGUGGAAUCCAUACAAUAGGCUCGACUUUGUCAUUGUUUUCGAUUCCUGGUAAUGUUGAGCUUUUGUAUUUGAUGGUCGUAAGUGUUUCCCCAGCUCUUUGGGAGGUGCAUAACUGGACAUAAUUUUUUCGCGCGGACAGCCGUGUUCCGCGUGUUUCGGGGCCUGCUAGCGUUGAAGCACGUCACAUUUUUUGCCGAUGUCAUAGUAUGGUUUGUAAAUUUCUGAUUUGUGCAUUGUUAACACUUGACAAUAGGCCAUCAUGGCGGCCGUGAAAAAAAGCGUUGGUCCUCUCCAAAACGUUAUCCUUUUGACGUUUUUUCUGUUGGUUUUCUAUUCUCUACUAGGCACGCAGUUCUUGCAAAACUCGAUGAAUCAAAGGUAAUCUCGAUAGUUCUCAUCACGUGAAAUCAAAAUCCUCCUGGGCAGGUGCUUUCGAACAGCGGACAGGCAACUGGCUUAUCCGAUGCGCUUUUGUGACAAAAAAGCUGCUGGCGGCUACGUAUGUCCACCAUUUCAGAACUGUAUGGUGAGUUUUUUCUAUAAGCUCAUUCCUUAUUUCAUCUCUUUGUUUGUAGACAUACGAGAAUCCCAACCAUGGAGCGACAACUUUUGAUUAUCUCUGGUAUUCGCUGCUUACCAUGUUUCAGGUUUGUGUCACUUCAUAGCAUCUUAUCGCCUUAGCACACUUCAAAGUGGACACUCUGCAGGUGAUAACUUUGGAAGGAUGGAGCCUCGUCAUGCAUGAUGUGAAGGAUGCUGAAGGGGAGCGAGCCAAUAAGACAUUGAUAACAUUGUGCUCUUAUCGUCCUUCAAGUAUGGCAUGUCAAAACGAUUGUUGCAUACGCUCGGUAUUCAUUUCACGACUUCCUUUCUGUUCAUUCAUCUGAUAAAGUUUGUAUGCAGACGGGUUGCAAGCAGUAAUGCUUUUUUCUUUUAGCGCGGAACUUCUGCUGUACUUUCUAGGGUACGGUCCUGGCGAUUUUUUUUGCCACGGUGAGUACAUUGUUUCCGGUUGUCUUCUGGUCUGAUCCUUAAAUUUCCAGGAAUGAAUUUGCUGGACUUGAUAGUCGUUAUGAUAUCUAUUGUUCUCAUUCGUUUCCAAAUUUAACAAUCAUGCGGUGGUUUUACUCUUCAAAGAAGUAUGUUGCAAAACAUCCCAGUGUAGUGGUGAGUUGCUGCAUUCACUUUGAUUGAUUUUAGUACGUGAUACAGGCUACUUGCAUGGAAAGUGUUGGUUCUUUCUUUUUUCUUCUGGUUAUCAUAGCAAUCUCUAUCAUCAGCAUGGAAUUGUACAGUGGGCAGUAUUACAGCUUUCCUGAAGAGUAUCUGCGAGCAAAUCAUGAUUCCAUACUGGAAGCCAUGCUCGUCUGGUUUACGGUAACCAUCCUGGGUAAACCAAAUGUGGAAUUCCCUGCGACCUGGAGUUCAAUAUAAGUAAGCAGUCACUCAAGUAUCUCUAGUAUUGACGCAUUCGUGUUUGCAGCGUAGUGGCACCGUUUUUAUACGUCUUUUACUUCGUCGUGACAGUUUACGUCGUUAUGAAUCUUAUCAUUGCUGUCUUGCUCGAGAGAAACGAGCUUACUGACAACCAGAAGAAGCGAAUCCAACGGGUGAGAGAGGUAAAAAAUGAAUGAGAACUGAACUAUUUUCUUUCAGAUGGAACACAUGAAGUUAAUCAAGAGAAUGCAAAGUCAGGCACUCACAAGAAGGGGAAGCUGUGGGCGCGGUAGAAGGAAUGAAAGGUUUGUGACGGAUGACAACUCGGAUCACGUAAGACCGGUUAAAGCCAGGCCAAGAGAGAAGGGGUCCCAGGGUCGUCAACGCCCGGCAGUAACUGCUGCUAAGUCUGAUGGGGGUACUACUGGAUCCGCUUUAGAGGCCCCAUCGUCGGUCGUUCCAGCUGCAGAGUUUUCUGAAGCACCGCCGUCGCGCCACAGGCGUUCUUCCUAAGUUUUACAGGUUUCUGGUUUUCCGUCUAAUAUCGGUGAAAGGAGGGGUUCAAGGACCGCACUUCAAGAUGCCGUGAUAACUCUCGACAAGAUUCUCAGCAGUCCAAAAAUUGGCAGAAAUCUAAGCAGGGCCUCUAGCAACAGGAAAUCUUUCCAGCUAUCGGAGUACGAAGAGCUCGAGAGAACUCUUACAACCAUACAGAGACCAUGGUACUUGCGAGAAGGGUCGCUUCUUCUAUCAACACGAUAAGGAUCCUGUCUAGGAAGAUCCUCGGCAGUAAACCGUACUUGUGGUUUGUGAUAGUUUGGAUGGUCAUCAAUACUUGGCUCGUAGUUGAUAUGGGAGAUGAUGGAGAGCCGAUAAUUGUCCCCGAUUUCAUCUGGAGUUUGCAGAAGAUCAACUUUGUGCUAAGGACAUGCUUAUCUUAUUUUGCCUGACAUUGUACAUUGUUUUGGAGCAGGUCUUUUUGCUAGACUGUUUGAUGAAGAUCGUUGCACAGGGACUUAUUUUUGCGCCACACGCAUACCUGAGUGACUGGUUCAACAUCUUGGACUUGUUUAUUCUCGUCACUGAUGCGCUUAUUCUUCUGAAGUAUAACGCUGAGGAUGAAACUCCCAUACCAACCGUGUUUACUUCUCUUCGGUCAUUUCGUUUCGUGGUUCGGUUUACAGGACUGAGGUCAUUAUUAUCAAAUCUUUUUCGGACUAUUCCAGCAAUUGUGUCGGUUAUUCUCUUCACAUUUUUAAUUCUCCUGAUAUUUGGAACCAUCGGGCUGCAGCAGUUUCGGGGCCUUCUCUGGAAAUGCAAUGACCCGACAAUCACACACCGAGCAUAUUGUACCGGCCUCUAUGUUAAUGACAUGGGUUAAUAACGUUUUCCACUUGGACGACAUCCAGAAUGCCCUCCUCCGUAUGUUCGUCUGCUUCACUUUCGACAACUGGCUGACGCACUUCAUGUAUCCUGUCAUGUACAUCACUAGGGAAGACCACCAGCCUGUUCGGAACGCGAGUCCCUGUCAACGCCUUGUUUUUCGUGGCAUUCUGCUGUAUUGGGGGAUUUAUAUCGUCAGAGUUUUCAUCGGUGUGUUUAUCAACGAGUUUGGAAAAAAUUCUGGAGCAGUUCUUCUCACAGAGAGGCAGAAGCUGUGGAGGGACAUGAACCGUAUCAUCCAGAAAACUGAUGCUAUUCCGAUGGCUCAACCACCAAGCAAUCCCAUCCGAGGGAUGUGCUUCUACUUGAUUCGCAAUCUGACAUAUCAAAAGUGCAUGAUCCUCGCACUCCUUGGCUACUCCAGGCUACUUGCAACUAACUAUGCUGGCCAGUCGGCAGUUGUUUCGGACCGGCGUCAGAUGGCUCACUGUGCGAUUACAACAUAUUUCCUGCUCGAAUCCGUGAUGAAGUUCCUUGGCAACGAGGUACCUCAUUCAUCUUUUUCUCGAUUGUUUUUUGUUUGACCACCUGGUUUUUCCUUUCUCCAAGGCGGCAACUGAUCCCCUGACCGUGAAAUCGUAGCCCCCUCCGCCGCCGCCGACGCUGCUGCUAGCGCCAGCUCCAUCCCGCUUGCCCGCCAGUGGAAGGUCUAUAAGAACGAGGUUGCACGGCAGAUGGAGUUCGGACUCUCUAUAAUGGCCGCCAUUGGUCUCAUGGGAAAGAAGGGAACGGUGCUAUGUCGGCCGCACUGCCUACAUUGCUCGAGUUUUCUGCAUCAUUCCUCACGUAGCGAGAGCGCAGGUUAUUAUGCGAACAAUGUUCAUCUGUUUGCCAACUGUAGCUGAGAUACUUGCUCUUCUCGCAAUUUUCAUGUAUAUGUUCGCGGGGAUGGCGUUCCAACUCUUCAGUGCAAUGAAGGAAGGACCCUGCAUUGGCCCGUCUGUCAACUUUCGCACUUUCGUCAACGCUUUCAUCGCGGUGUUUCAGGUAAAGCCUUGCUUUUUUAUCACUUUCAGUUUCGCUUUUCUUUUACAGGUUACAACUCUUGCUAACUGGUCUUGUGUUAUGAUGGAUACCACAAUUGAUGCACCCGCCUGCACCAACGGUAAAACACUACUUGGCAAUGAUUGUGGCUAUCCAGAGGGCCGAAAUAUCUUCUUCGCCUUCUUGGUCUUGGUCGGGAGUCACAUAUUCAUGAACUUCUGUGUGGCUGUCAUACUGGAUGCUGUAACCUUCGGCCUUGUGAACGAGAACUCUAUGGUCAUGCCGGAGCACCUAUUAGCAUAUCGAAACUUGUGGAGCCAAGAACCAUUCUAUCCCAAGUAAGCCACUUAAUUACGUUCAAGUCCUUGUGGAACUAACUUUACAAUCGUCCAGUGGUAUGGGAUACAUUGGCAUGCACAAGCUGCAUCGAUUUGUAAACGCCCUUGCUUCCAAUUCCGCAAUCGACCUCUGCAUUGCAUUGCGUCGUUCGGGGAUCCGUUGGGCCGGCACUACAAAUACAAGACCCAAUGGUUUGGCGUGUUCCUCUCAAUCUCUCUUUGUCUCUCUCUCAAUUUUUUCUUUGUUCUGUUCAGGUACAUGAGAAUAGAGUACGAGGUGAUGAGUUUUCGAGUUCCAAACAAAGGAAUCCCUUUCAAGAAGCCGCUGGAAACGCUGACGCUGUAUAAGAUUGGACCAACUGUAAGUAGCUGCUAUUCCAAGCUUUUGAUACUAACGUUAAGCGGAUCCAGGCCGUACAUCCAGGGCGCUGCAACGAAAAUGUAGGCUCUCGUGAGAGGAUUCCUGGGGAGGAUAAGAGCCGGCAAAGGUGGUGCUGUUGUGCGCAAAACCGAGGUAGCAGCUGAACAAGAAUUGGAAUUGACAAGGAGCAAACCCGAGGUGCUAGAGAUUGCCAGGGACGUGAGAGGCGAAGCUCUCCUGGUGGAAGAGCAGUGCUGCGGUCGCAUUUUUGUAUAUUAAUUUAGAGGAAAAUAUGUCAAACUAUGUAGAGGUGGGACGUUCGAAUACCAAAACGCUUUGGAAAUAAAAACUUACGUAUCUUGAGAUUGGGGCGGUCCUCAAGCCAAGGUGGAAUUUUCAUGCCUUCCGGGCAGUCUAGCCUUUUCAGCCUGGGAAAUGCGCCCUGGCUGUGAUUGUGGGACCACAGUGCAUCGUUAAGUAUCACGCUUCGCCCCGAAAUGUUAAGACGUUUCAAACAUGGCAGUGAUGCAAUGGACGAUGGAACGAUAGUCUCAUCAUCACUGAUCAAGUGCACAGCUUCUAUAUCAGUCAUUUGAUCUGAUGGCUCAAAGAAAUCAUUUUGCAUCUUCCUGCACCAUACUGAAAGAAAUUGAACCUUGAGUGAUGACCUCUCGGUUGGCAACAACAGUCUCUUUAUGCAACCCGUUAUUCUCAGAACCCCGAGGCGAUUGGGGAGCUGUGCCACAAAGAGAGGCAAGUGCUCCCAUUCAAUAUCAGGAGCUAGCUCAAACUCCAACUCCUUCAGAUUUGGAAAACUGGCAGCAAAAUCAUCCUUGAAUUCUGACUGUGCAAUGUGUAGAUUAGUAAGUAUCAGAAAUUCAACACCUGGGAAUGGUCCAUGGACCAGGUUGAAGAAGUGGAUACGACUGCAGUCAAUUUCAAGUUUUUCUAGGCGGUGGGGCAACCAAGAUAGGUUUAUAAUUUCACGGAUGCGUAAAUAUCGUAGUUGCAGCCAUUCAAAGCUGUCAUCAUUAUUUUCACUGUCUUCUACCCCAGAAAUGGAAAAAUCUUUAAGCCUGAUUGAUUUCUUAAACAUUCGCUUCAACGGAAGUCUACUGACAGAUUCCAUGUGAAUUUCACAUGUUUUUAGGUUGACAAGUUGCCAUAACCCAACGAAACUGGCAAAGUCAAUGUUGUUUGCAUGUAAAACCAAUGUUUCAAUGUGCUCCAGUGUCCCCAUGCUUUCUGGCACCUUCAUUGUACCAUGUGUCAUUCUUAGAUCUAGAAGUCUUAGUUUACGUGAAAUUCCAGUCAAAUCCACAACUGAUGACUCCUCUUUUGAAUCAAGCCUCAGCUCCAGCUCUUCCAAGUUGGAGAGCUGGGGCAGUAAUGCAAUGUUACACUUUAUUGGCGUCCACUGAGUAGAUUUUAGAUAUUUCAGUGAUGUCAGGCUGAAAAGCGCAUCUGGUAGUUGACUCGCUUUUGUUCCUCGAAUGUCAAGCACUUGAAGGUUUUUCAGCUUGGAAAUGCUCUCUGGAAUAAAAUGGAUCUUAGAGCAUUUCCGCAAGCUCAAUACCUUGACACCUUGUAUAUGAUCGAUAAGAUUGUCAUCCACAUUAGAAAGUCCUUUACAUUUAUCCAGAAGUAAGACAUCUCGCACAUGAUUAUCGGAUAGAAAGCUGCCAACAUUCUUUGAGAAGAAUGAGACUUUAGCAAAUGUUGCAUCCCGAAUGCCAAUUGUCCAGUCAUAUCCAAACAGGCAUCCCUUCUCGUGCUCUUGCUGUGGACUGUACUUCCCUUUUAAGAUUCUUAUGCACAGUUUGCGUAGCAUAUCGUGUACGAUUAUAUAACCAGGAGCUUCUUCAUCCCUCCAAGACUUAUAUAUCUUGACCAGGCAUCUCCGUUCCAGUUCAUUGACAAUCGCUGUGGGUGAGAGUUCUGACCCAACCUCCAUCCAACAUUUCCUCAACUCAGUAAACUCAAUCUCCUCGUCUUCUGGGAAUGCGGCCACAUAAAGAAAGCACUCUUGCAGCUUUUCACCCUCAUACUUUCCCAGCUCGUCAUAGCUGAACUUCAAGCGCUUGAACAUCUGCUUCUCAACAUCUAGGUCAUUGGACAAGUGCAACCUCUUAUAUCGUUCUUCCCACACAUGUGGCCCUUCACUUCUGUGGACAGCCAUGGCACUGCCAAUCACUUCCAGAGCGAGAGGAAGUCCCUCACAUUUUCGAGCUAUUUUCUCCGCAAAUCCCACAACAUCAGGGUCACUGGGUUGUGGAUCAUGCACACCGAAGGCAAACUUCCAAAACAUCUUUUUGCUUUCAUCCAUUGAUAGCUCAUGCACAGGAAAUGCCUUUGCAUCCAGACUGCGCAAAAUGCCUUCCUUUCUGGUUGUUACCAGGAUCCGGCCAGAGCAUGGCCCUGCUAUAAAAUCCAGUUCCUUUGCCCAGCUCCAGUCCCAGACAUCAUCCAGUACCAGCAAGACACGGUUACCACCAGCAAGAUCGCGUGCCAAGUGCUGCAUGUCGUCAAGGCUUCCUUUGGCCCUCUCUUUCAUUUCACCCCAUUCAAGAGCGUUGAGGAGCUGGGCCUUGAGAUCGUCCUCCGAAGCAUCUUUCUUCACAGUGAUCCACACAAUGUUGUCAUGGAAAUGCUCCCGCACCCUCUCGUCAUUGUGCGCGCAGCUUGCGAGGGUGGUCUUUCCACACCCUCCCAUUCCCAAGAGUCCAACCCAUUUGCUACGGGCUUCAGGAUCCAAGAGGGCAUUCACCACCUCAUCGAGCAGUUGCUCAUGGCCACCAAACAUGGCAUCAGGAACACCACGCCGUACAUAUUUUUUUGCAGGGCCUCUGUCUUGCGGGGAACUCCGUACGGCGAAGCUAGUGCUCGGCUGUAUCACUCUCAACUCUUCUCGCUCGUACCUUUCCAUUUUCGGAACGAGAUCGCCCUCGUAGCUGUGUAUCAGCUUCGAGAUCUCGCCAUAACGCUUCUCCCUGUGAAAGAUCCACAGAUAUUUUAGCUUUACUGUUAGAGCUCUUGUGUAAGCUUACUGUGAUCCCAGCAGUGCUUGCGCCUUGUCGUUCCAUUUUGUGACAUGAUCAAGACACUCCUCGGCUCCAUCAGAAUAGCGGAACUCUGGAUUCCGGUGCUUGUGAGUAUGAAACUUGUUAAGCAAGGCCUGGAUGCUGGCCCCCCCCUUUUCCAGCAUCGCAAUGUCCACAUUCAGCUCGUGCCCGUGACUUUCGAUCUGCGACAGGAGAUCCUGGUAGGGGCUUAUGCACUCCAUGAUCUUGCCACUCCGCUUGUACCUAUAUGAAGAAAUAAAUUCAGCCUUCUUGCACAAAAAUGCUCCAAAACAUACCGUCUAACGGGGUUCCAGAUCCUGUUGUUGCGUGAUCCCAAGAGUCCUUGCGCCUUGCUAUUCCAUGUCCUGACACGCUCCAAGCAUUCCUCGGCCGCUUCAGAAAACAUAAAGCCUGGAUUCUGCUGCUUGUGCUCACUGAAAGCGUUGACCUUGGCCUGGAUGUUGGGCGCCAUAUUCUCCAGCCUUUCAAUGUUGGCAUUGCAGUCCCAAACCUUCUUGGCAGCGUCCAGACCCAAGCCACACAGCUGGCUCACCAAGCCGCUCACACACUCCAUGAUCGAAAAAUCGUGUCCGCUUCAGCUAAAAUGGCACCGAUAUAAGGCCAAAACUUCUUACGUGGUCUCCAGGGACGCGCUGGAGCAAAUGUCCUUCUCCUGGACACUUCCAGAGGCUCUAAACAAGGCCGCAUAGUCUCUAUGCCCCCGGUCCGUCCUGGAAGCUCACCGUGCACUGGAGAUCAUCCGAGGUGACAUGCCCAGACAGGUGCGCGAUGGUGCCGUUGUCCACGAAGAACUCCACUCCCCGGCACUUUCCAACGGGCUGCGAGUGUGAAUCCGGAGUGUCGGUCACGUUCAAGGAGAAUGCGAGGCCGCAGCCGUCUUUGAAAGGUGGCCCGGUGUCUUUCUUGCAGCCUGCAACAGGGAAGAUGUUGUAGCCGCUUUUGGUGAAGCAUCCCUGCAGAGAAGCUGUUAGUGAAGAGAGCUGCGAGCUCGAAAGAUGUGCUUACCUGAGAAUUCUCGAGAAGGACAAGAAGUAAGCUAGCCCCGGCCCCGGCCAUGCUUUGGUCCUUGCCCGCUGCCAAGGAAUGGAGUCCGUUUAAAAGCGUUGUUUCGGCUCUCUUGUACAUAGCAUGUCAAGCCUGCGAGUCUUUCAAUCAUUUGAGAGCAUAACCUGUGUGAAACUUGUCUGCGUCAAUUCUCGACAGCAGAAGCUGCGCGAAGAAUUUAAAGUUCCAAGUGUAAGCAAACCAAGACUUGUAUGUACCUUGAAUGAAACUUAACACGAAACAAUUAGUUCAAUGCUUUACACCAAUCAAAGCUUUGAACAAAUAGCACACGCUCCUACGCUUUCCCAAUACACAAAACACGGAGCACUGGAGAAAGGAUACUGAUAGCAAAGAAACAAACUCUACUUACAGUAUAAACCCCGCUUAUCGUCCUAAUUUUCAAAAUCGCUGUGGCCACCACAGAGAAAACAUCACGCAAGGGUCCAUUCUAACAAAAACCUGACCUUCAUGCUGCAACAGGAGAAUCCGGAGCUGAUCCAAUUGAAGUACCUUCGGGAUCCUUAGGCAAGGCAACGUAAUUCAUCAUCGGAGAGUAGCGUUUCACCCGGCUACCCUUUUGAGGACCCUGAUUGCUAGCCUUAGGUGCGGGUAAGAGCUCAGGGACUAUCGAAAGUCGUCGGUUUGCAUUGUUUCCACUCACGCGAAGUCCCACCUGUCCCUUUUUGGACGCCUUUGUGCCGUAGAGCAGCUCCUGCUCAGUUUGCAGUUGCUCCUGCAUUCUCUUCUCCUCCUGCAUUUAGCCAGUUAACGCCUUAACAGGCACUAAACUGCAGAGUUACCCUCAGUCGGCGCUUUUCUUCUUCUUUCUCUCGUCGUAGCAAGCUAUAUUCUUCUAGAAUUGCCAGUAGAGAAAUCUGCAAAGAACUUUCAGAAGCGUCUAGGAAAAUCACUUACGUACCCCGUUAUAUAAGAAGGGCCUGCCUCUUUCGUCCCCCAAGACCGCGUUUUGGACUUCAAUGAUUCAAGAAGAUCUGCAAACGGGUUGUGAAAACUGAGAAAAGGAAAUAGCAAACGAAGAAUUCAAACGCACUGGGGAGUUUGGCCACGAUGACACGAGCUCUUUCUGCACGUUUUAGACUCAAAUGUGCUCCUCUGGUUGCAUUGAAGCGGCUUUCAUCCUACAAUCGAAAAUGAAUAAGUGAAAUAGCAUAACGCUCAUACCUUAUUGUAUUCUUCAAGCCAGCUUUCUUCUUCACACGCUCUAAUCCACCGUUCCAUUCAUUCCAUUAUAUCUUGUCUGCCGAGUGAUUCUUCCUUCUCCUCGGCGAUACUACUUUCGAUUGUAGCAAGUAGUUCUGACAAGUCCACUAUUCCUGUGCACAACAAACAUCAGGCAAGAAAUGUGAACAGAAUAAAUUUAUACCUGACUCCCGAUCGUCUUGCCUAAUUUCUCUAGCGUCUCAUCGCUAAUACUUCUGCUCUGGCCUGGAUCACAAAGGCUCGGAUGCACUUCCUUGACAGCCUCGGUGUAGUCUGUCCCCAACAGGACGCAAUAUCCCUGCAGAACCUCGAGAAGCUCUGAGAAUUUGUGGAGCUGGGUACGCUGGAAAUGUCACUUGUAAGAAAAAAGAAUGCCAACCGUGCCAAUACAAACCAACCUUUUUAUCCUGAAGCUCUUGAAGCUGGCAAUGGUACUCAUAGUCUCAUACAGCUUUCUCAGCAACAAAUCUUUCCAACAAAAAGCUCCAUUCUCGGUCUCUUGCAAUGUCCCCGGCGAUAUCUCCAGAGAGAGCCUUUGUAUCUGGCAUUGGACGUCCUCAAAUUGCUUCAGCCGCUCCUCUUUCCUCAGACGCAAGCAUUCUAACUGAGGUGAGACGGACAAGAGCUGCUCCCGCAGAGUAGUGCCCGACCUCUUCUCUAACUGAAAGGAAGAACAACGGGCAUUGGAAAAGCACUGUGAGAUGGAUCAAACAAAGCAUACCGUGCAAGGGCGAUCACCCAGGAGCAACAGGAGCGACGCGAGCUCCGACUCGGAAUCCGCCAGCAGCUGGUGCAGCCCAGCCCUCACGGAAUUCGCUUGAUCCACCUUCCGCCGGUACACAUCCAGGCAUUCUUGCUCCAGCUGGAGCAGCAUUCUGUCCCUCUCCUCGUCGCUCUGCCCCAUCUCCUCCCAGAUGCUCUACGCGCGGCCGAUCCACCGCGAUCGUGAGAAACUCCAGAGGCAAUAAUUCGCGAGGAGCCGAGGCUUACCUGGAGCUCCCGCAGCAGCGAUCGGCAAGUCGUGUCCUCGCCUUCCAUGGCCUCCAGAAUCAAAAUGCGCGUCCCCAGAUCAAUCAGCUGUCGACAUUCUUUGCAGCUGGAGAAAAAGUUGUAAGAAAAAAACGAAGAAACAAUAGAAAUAAUAGAAAACUUACCGCGUUCUUGGCCUUCUUCGUUCCAACUCUACUCACGAGCGUGUUCUUCCGAUCGAUCCUCAUUUCUCGAUCCACCUCGCGUUGCCGUAAUCCGUCAUCUACGAAACACCACGAACUCUAGGUUCCAUUCUUAACACCUGUGAAGAAAAAGCGGCAAAAGGAACGAAAGAUGACCAUUCGCAAGAUCCUGGACGAGAAUGCGGUACCUUGUUCGAUACUACUGGCACGAUCUUCAGAGUAUCAAAAAGCCCGAGAGCAAACAUGGUCAGAUUCCAUGCACCGGCUUCACUGUUCGCAUUCGCUCCAACGAAAUCCACACCGAUGCGCCGAUCCUGGUCUUACUCAAAGCGGUGGAAGCACAUUCUUCCUGUAGAGGAGAAUACAUAACCUUGUUGAUCUGCGCGUUGGCGGUGUUCCAGUAGGAUGUUUUACUGGUAACGGUGGAUCAUAGCGCCUGCUGAGCAUACCGGCGAGCGAUCUAUCUCCUCAUCAAUUCUGUCCAAUCCUCUUGCACACAUGAAAACGCGAGACCUGGAAUAGUGGUCAUCGACACCCGAUGCCGCUACACCGUCGUCAUGCAUCGGCUGUGCGAAAUUUGUGGCGCGCCACGAACCGGAUCGAGACUAGCAGCUCCGAAAAAUCCACAAUACCCUUGGAUGUGAUGCCAGCGAACAAGACGCAGCGCGCAGCGAGCAAAAGAACUCUUAUAGAUGGUGUAGCUGCUGGCAAGGCCGAGCGCCCGGACCAAACCAAUGGAUUGAUGCUCAGCUCCAGCGGCGCCAUUGCCGAUGAUGACCGCGCGGCACACCACAGUCGACAAUCCCCCCAUCCAAACGGGUUUACAAUCCUUCAACCCUACCGCACGUGGAGAGCAUCCGGGGUUCGAAUCCUGACAGCUACUAGCAACAGUCGCGGUUCGACUCCCAUUGACGCCGUGCUCCAGUGUGGAUAAAAUUCUUUAAGAGCGUUGUCUAGCGAUGUGACGUGAGGCUCUUCUCCUUUCUCGGGUUUGGCACAAUCGAGGCCGUACCCUCUGGCUCCAAGUGGAUAUUCUUUCUUUCCUUGUAUAUCGAUACAAUCCUUCUAAUCUACGAGUGGCUCGUGUGCUAGGGUUACUGGGAAUCACAGGCUCGGCCACGAUGAUCCGGCUGUGGCGGCGCGGGAAGAGCGGCAAGAGUGGCGCUGUGUCAUAGACCUCAAGUGCUAGUGAUGCAAGGGAAGAGAGUGGCGAGCAUGAUUUACAUUGGUUGGACAGAAAGAUGCCCACCUCACUCACUUUUUCCCCUUUCUAGCUUUAACAAUGGAGAUUGGCAUUGCGGAGAGAUGGCGGCGCUGGCGAUCAUCGCUCGAUGGGAGCGAGCAGCAGCAGCAGGAUUUGGAUUCCCAGGAUAGAUUCGCUUGCAAGCGCGUGUGCGUGUCAGAUCCGAUGAUGAAGCGAGUGAAAAUGAUGUGACGCCCAAUUUGUGCGUCACUGUGUAUGGGGUCUCGGAUUUGGAUGCUUGCACCAAGGCGUGCGCUCGAUCCGUUUGUUCUACGCAGCAUUGGAACGAUGUUUGUAUGCGGUGAUGCCAGAGCGAGAUGAGACCUCUCGGCUCUAUGGGCGGUACAGCGCCGACAACAAAGAAGAGCUCUUCUCCAGGGUGAGCCAGCCACAGGAGGCACAGACUGACGGCGACGAGGAUUUCAUGCGCGAUGAUCUUGCGGAAGCGCCGCCGCCUCCAAAGAUCAUCGAGUGGGAACCGGGGACCGCUUCUCCCGACGUGGAUUGGCCCUCCGUCGCUGUUCUCUCUGCCAGAAAAUCGAUCAUGUCGCUUGGAGCGGGAGGCUUUAAGCGGUGCAUUACGUCCAAGCUAUACGAGCUUGUACCAAGGCAGCGCAGAAACUCCUGGCAGUACCUCUCUUGCAGAUCUUGCUCCUGGAUUGCAGGAAAUUUCGGAGCACUGAGGCUUGUUUUUCUAUCACUUUCAGUUUCGCUUUUCUUUUACAGGUUACAACUCUUGAUAACUGGUCUUGCCUUAUGAUGGAUACCACAAUUGAUGCACCCGCCUGCACUAACGGUAAAACACUACUCGGCGAUGAUUGUGGCUAUCCAGAGGGGGUGACAUUAUCUUCUUUGCCUUCUAGGUCUUGGUCGGGAGUCACAUAUUCAUGAAUUUGUUCGUGGCUGUCAUACUGGAUGCCGUAACCUUCGGCCUUGUGAACGAGAACUCUAUGGUCAUGCCGGAGCACCUGUUAGCAUAUCGAAACUUGUGGAGCCAAGAACCAUUCGAUCCCAAGUACGCCACUUACGUUCAAGUCCUUGUAGAGCUAACUUUACAAUCGUCCAAUGCUACGGGAUACAUUGGCUCCUGAGCUUAUGAGCUCAAAAUUUACCCGGGCUCCAAGCAUUUUGCUUCCCAGUCGAUGUGUACUUUGUGUUUGACGAUUUGUAAACGCCCUCGAUGACCCGCUGGGCCGGCGCUACAAGUCCGCAACCCAAUGGUUUGGCGUGUGUUUGCGGAAUCCUCCCAAUCUCUCUUUGUCUCUCACUCGUUUUUUUCUUUGUUCUGCUCAGGUACAUGAGAAUAGAGUAGCGGUUUUGUAUAUAUUGAUUUAGAGUAAAAAUAUGUCAAACUACGUAGAGGUGAGACGUUCGAAUACCAAACGCUUUGGAAAUUAAAACUUAUCACGAUUUAUCUUGAGAUUGGGGCGGUCCUCAAGCCAAGUUGGAAAUUUCAUGCUUUUCAGGCAGUAUAGCGAUUCCAGCCUGGGAAAUGCGCCCUGGCUCUUAUUGUGGGACCACAGUGCAUCGUUAUGUAUCACGCUUGGCCCAAAAAUGUUAAGACGUUUCAAACUUGGCAGCGAUGCAAUGGACGAUGGAACGAUAGUCUCAGCACAGCUCAACCCCUUGCUUAAAACGUUUUAUCUUGAGAUUGGGGCAGUCCUCAAGCCAAGGUGGAAUUUUCAUGCCUUUCGGGCAGUAUAGCGAUUCCAGCCUUUUUGUAUAUAUUGAUUUAGAGGUGAGACGUUCGAAUACCAAAACGCUUGCUAACGACGUUGUAUGUCGAGAUUGGGGCGGUCCUCAAGCCAGGUGGAAAUUUCAUGCCUUCCGGGCAGAUUAGCGAUUUCAGCCUGGGAAAUGCGCCUGGCUCUGAUUCUGGGACCACAGUGCAUCGUUCUGUAUCACGCUUGGCCCCGAAAUGUCAAGAAAUUUCAAACCUGGCAGCGAUGCAAUGGACGAUGGAAUGAUAGUCUCAUCACAUCUCAAAUGCACGAUUUCUAUAUCAGUCAUUUGAUCUGAUGGCUCAAAGAAAUCAUUUUGCAUCUUCCUGCUGGAUACUGAAAGAGAUUCAACCUUGAGUGAUGAACUCUCGGUUGGCAACAAAAGUCUCUUCAUGAGACCACUUACGCUCAGAUGCUUGAGGCGAUUGGGGAGCCGUGUCACAAAGAGAGGCAAGUGCUCCCAUUCAAUAUCAGGAGCUAGCAAAAAGGACAACCGCUUUAGAUUUGGAAGACUGGCAGCCAAAUCAUCCUUGAAUUCUGACUGUGCAAUGUGUAGGUUAGUAAGACACAGAUCUCCAAGACGUGGGAAUGUCCAGGUUGAACAAGUGGAUACGAUUGCAGUUAAUAAAAAGUGUUUCUAGGCGGUGGGGCAACCAAGAUAGGUUUAUGAUAUCACGGAUGUCUAAAUAUCGUAGUUGCAACCAAGCAGUUGAAGGUUUUUCAGCUUGGAUAUAUAUCUCUGCAUGGUGUUUUGGCAAUCAGUAUUCGGUCGGAGCAUGGUAUGUACGUACAGCACGGCUGAACUAGCAUCGUACUCCGCUUUUGGAGAACUCACUCAAUGAUCUCGAGAUGAACUGGAGGAGUUCGGGAUCACACCUUGAUGCUGUACUUAAGGGUUUGUGAGAGUAGCUCAGGUACUUCUUGCACUUGUUUUCCUUUCAAUCAGCAGCAAUUCCCCCCUAAGGGCAUCUUUAUGACAUCCUCCGUGGUACGAACACGUUUGAUUUAUGCUCGUCGGAAGUGGUGCUCCAGUUUGGGUUUACCAAAGUGGCAGCGUGGCAGGAUUUUCGGAGGGGUGUUGCAAGUUUAGCGCAUGUGUCUUUGUACAUGGAGAUAUUCGCUGUGGUGGUGCAUGAAGUUGUUGAAGACUUGGCCACAGUUUUUUUGAGAAGUUUACAACAGUAUCCUAGUAUCCUGUCGAAGAACGGUAACGGUCUGAAGUAACUUAGCUAAAAUCCAUAGAAUAUUGCGUCGCUGUUUCUACGAGUGCAGUGUAUCAUUUAAUUUUUAUCGAAUUAUACACACUUCACUUGAACAGCAAACUAAACUGAUUUGGAUGACAUUUCUCCAGCCUGAAGAACUCAUCCUCGCAGCAAAACUCAUCAGUGCUGAACACCAAGCCAGGGCUGUUGCAAGCAACUGGAGUCCUCAGAUCAAAGAUCAAGAGAUUCAAGCACCUUUCAGACUAUCUUCAUUUCAAAAAGUAACGGUCGUGAGCUGAUCAAAAGCAGCGAUUGGUGAGCAAGCCAUAUCCACUGGAAAAACACUUAUACUUCGGAGGGAUACCAUUAGCGACUAGAGCUUCGGUGGUUAAAACAAGCCCUGUAAUUCUGAAUUGAUGUAAGCAUACACAAAUUAUAUGCAAAAUACAUACUGGAUAACUGUACUUUUUUUAUCAUAUCAAUUUGGGAUCUUGGAACAUUUUUUGAAGCCUAGUUGACUUUGUUAUUUAAAAUCUGAGCUGGUUAUUCACUCCAAGAUUUAAAGAAAAUGAAGUGUAGUAGGCUUGAAUUUGAUAAUAGGAGUUGGGUAUACUGCUUUAGUAGGCUUGACUUUUACUGAUUGAUGGAUGAUAACAAAAUGUAUUAAAAUGAAUUAAUAGAUCAGUUGCGAGAAGAUUCUGCCGGCUGCAUGCCUGCUGCCUGCCUGCCCCCCUCUCUGUUAAAUAGGGGCAAGUAAGUGGUUGCAUAAAGAGACUGUUGUUGCCAACCGAGAAGUCAUCACUCAAAGCUCAAAAACUUUCACUGUCAUGCAGGAAGAUGCAAAAUGAUUUCUUUGAGCCAUCAGAUCAAAUGACUGAUAUAGAAGACGUGUGGUUGAGCUGUGAUGAGAGUAUCGUUCCAUCGUCCAUUGCAUCGCUGCCAGGUUUGAAACGUCUUGGAAUUUUUAGGCCAAGCAUGAUACUUAACGAUGCACUGUGGUCCACAAUCACAGCCAGGGCGCAUUUCCCAGGCUGGAAGAGCUAAACUGCCCGGAAGGAAUGAAAAUUCCACCUUGGCUUGAGGACUGCCCCAAUCUCAAGAGACAUAAGUCUUAAUUUCCGAAGCAUUUUGUUAUACGAACGUCUGUAGUUUGACAUAUUUCUCCUCUAAAUCAAUAUAUACAAAACUGCGACUGCACCACUAUUCUCCCACCAGGAGAGCUUCGCCUCUCACGUCCCUGGCAAUCUCUACCACCUCGGGUUUGCUCCUUGUCGAUUCCAAUUCUUGCUGAGCUGCUACCUCGGUUUUGCUCACAGCAGCACCACCUUUGCCGGCUCUUAUCCUCGCCAGGAAACCUCUCACGAGAGCCUGCAUUUUCGUCGCAGCGCCCUGGAUGUACACGGCCUGGAUCCGCUUCUCACGCUCGAUGCGCAGAGUGAGAGGCAACCCCUGCGUUAAUCCGAGCCAAACGUAAGUAUCACAAGCUUGGAAUAGCAGCUACUUACAGUUGGUCCGAUCUUAUACAGCGUCAGCGUUUCCAGCAGCUCCUUGAAAGGGAUUCCUUUGUUUGGAACUCGAAAACUCAUCACCUCGUAUUCUAUUCUCAUGUACCUGAGCAGAACAAAGAAAAAAACGAGUGAGAGACAAAGAGAGAUUGGGAGGAUUCCGUAAACACACGCCAGACCAUUGGGUCGCGGACUUGUAGCGCCGGCCCAGCGGGUCACCGAGAGCGUUUACAAAUCGUCGCAGCUUGUGCAUGCCAAUGUAUCCCGUAGCACUGGACGAUUGUAAAGUUAGUUCCACAAGGACUUGAACGUAAGUAAGUGGCUUACUUGGGAUCGAAUGGUUCUUGGCUCCACAAGUUUCGAUAUGCUAACAGGUCCUCCGGCAUAACCACCGAGGUUCUACGGGCUUUCCUCAGCAAAGCCUGGAUAAUAGAAGCUUUUCCUUUCGCCCUGGUACAAAAGCUUUUGCAGAAGAGGAGGCAUUACGGAAGCAAUGAAAUCGCCUUCAAGCUUCAAGCUUCUUCAGCUUUUGAUCUUCGGAAGUGGUAAGCAUCUCCCUGCUUCUGUUUUCUGUGUUCACUCAAUCGUCGUUACCAGGAACCGAAGCAACAAGGAUUCGUCUCUAGAACGCAUGUGCAUUCCCCGUUUGGCCUGCGUGGUUACCAAACUCCGGUCAUCCGCAGCUGGGAAAGGGAGGAUCAAAGCUAGACUCAUGGCAACUCUUUGACGUUUAUGCUUCGACGGGAUGGUCAGGCAAGUUCUGGGGGCGCCCCAAUUGUCAGUUUGACACAGUUCUAGGCACAGGCUGCUGCGAAACAGGAGAUUGUUCAAACGCAAUCGGAUGCAAUAGCACUUAUUCGCCCCCGGCCACCACAGUCGAGUUCAAGCUCCAUCGCGAUUUCAUCGACGAGUACAGCGUCUCUCUGGUCGAAGAUACAACUUGGCGGUGAAAGUUUCAAGCAGCAAUCCGUUUUGCCUCAGUGGUGGCUGCAGCUGCGACUUGAAUUCGCGGUGUCCUUCGGAGCUGCUGGUUUGGAAUUCGAGGGGAACUCCAGUUGCUUGCAACAGUCCUUGCUUAGCGUUUGGCGCUGAUGAGUUUUGCUGCGAGGAUGAGUUCUUGGGAGGAUAAAUGCCAUCCAAAUCAGUUCAGUUUGCUGUUCAAGGAGUGUUGUCCUCAGGCAAAGACUUACCCGUUUGAUGAUACUAAUGUUCCGCUGUUUUGCACUGCAGGGUCUGAUUAUCUCAUCACCUUCUGUCCCUCUUGGUAGAAGGUUAAUGUAAAGCUGCUUUAAGGCUUAAAUGUGUUUAUUUAAAUUAAGCAAAAUCUGAAAAAGCUAAACAAAUUAAAAGUGGAUUAAUUAAGUGUUUAGGGUUUAAGAUUUAUAAGUCAAUGAUUUUAGUUUUAUUGUCCGGCAUUUUCAAAAACAAAAAUUAAUCUAUCCUCAUUUUGGUUCAUUAACUCUAGUUUUAGUUGCUAGAAAUUCGAUGAAUAUUCAAAUUUAAUAAGCUUUAUCAUUUUGAAUGAUAGAACAUAACAUCACACAAAGUUUUAUUUGUUGGAAAUCUAGAUGAAGGGUCACAAUUCGAUCAUCAUUGCAUUAUAAUAAGUAUAUACAGCAAUUAACAAAAUGUCACAACUCUUAAUUACCAUGAUUGUUGAUGUGUCCAUUCCACAUGAUACACUCAUGUCAUAAGAGGACUUAAAUCCUCAUCUGACAUGAGCCUGGGAAAAUCUUUAUGACAUGCAUCUUUCAAGAAACUGUAUCUAUGCUCUGCAGAUUGUGGGCAAUUCAUCUCUCAUUGCUGCUCUCUCCCUCUUUCUAUUAGGGCACCUGAUGGGUUCCUACCCAAUUGGAUGUCACUGUUCCUUUGGCUGACAUUUCCCCAUGUGACCAGUCUGAGCACUCCGUGGCCCUGGCAUUUCUCUCAUGCCACCAAUUGCAAUCUCAGCACCAUCUCGUUCUCGGCUUCUAGCACAUGGGAUGCAAACAAUCUACCAGAAAAGGGAAUCCUCCAUUGCCUAGAUCCUCUGUUAACUCAAAUCACCAGGCCAGAAUCUGAGUUGUUCCUCGUGCUGAAAGCAUAAUCUGAAUGCUUUCAUCUUUCCACCACAUCUGGUGGUUCAUCUGGAUCGCUACCAUCUUAUUUCUCUAUAGGGCUCUCUGAAAAUCAGCAAAACUCAGUCUCUGAUACCAUGUAGGAAUUCUGGAAGAAGUCUCUGAUGCAUUAUAAUAAGUAUAUUCAGCAAUGAACGAAAGGUCACAACUCUUAACUAGCUGAUGUGUCCACUCCACAACACUAGGAGGACCUAAAUACUCAACAUUAUACUGAAAUUCAGGUCUGACUGUCUUCGUAGGACUGGCCCCCAUUAUUUUUAUUAUUUCCAUGCUUAAGUUUCCUUAGCAUGGACAUGUGAUUCUAGUUGGUGUAGCAGUGAAGUUAGUUUCACAGGCCCUUGGAACGAGUACAGUUGUUCCACCAAUCAUGAUGGGGUAUGGAUUAGGCCGAUUGCACUGAGUUCUGUAUACUGAAGCAUAGUUCCUCUGGAAGAUGAUUUGGUUUGGGCUUAAGGUUGCACCAACCUGGAAAGUACGAGAGAUGUUGUUUGAACCCAUAACAUUCACCUGAUUCACUUGAUAUGAGCAACUUGUAUCAUAUAUCUGAACCCCGACUGCACAAAAAUCCACGCAUCGCCCAAUGACAGUGAUUCCUUGCUCAAAGUCACUGCGAGAUGCUACAAAAGCUGCAGACUCCCCAGAUCCCCGCCCAACAUUUCUAUCGUAAUCGUUGUAGAUUGACACCUCAAUCUUCUGACUUGUGACACAUAGGAACAAUGUCUGGGCAUCCAGCUUGAUGGAAUAUGAGCACUAAGUUGAAAUAUAAGCCAAAAAAAGUUGAAAAAUGUUAGUUUGGAUUUGUGAAGGAUAUGAUAAAGAAUUAUUUACCGUCCCCGAAGCUGAGCAACCAGGACACAUCAGGAAAUUUGAUCUUGAAUUGUACAUGCAUGUUGUUGGAAAGAGGAAAAACUGCCGAUUGAAGCCAAUGGCAAAAUCACUAGCGACGUUGAAACCGGGACACUCAGUGAGCACUUCACUUGAAAAACGGAAGAAGUACUCAUUUUCCAACAUUCCUUCACGAGAAACCAUCACCAAGCCUGGAACCAUUCUUUGAGGGGAGACGUUUAUAGUGAUAAUGCAGUAGUCACAAGGUGCCAUGACUGUUGCAGAAUUCCCUCCACAAGAAUCGCCUUUCAAGCCAGUGACUUGGGCAGAGUCGCCAUUGAGAUUUGAGAGCUUGACUGAAGCACUCUGUUCAUUGCAGCUGAUACGAAGACCGGUUGAGAAAUCAUAAAAUUCAAUGGUGUAAUUGCAAAGUUCUACAGCUGCAGAUGGAAAUAGUAUGAGAGAAGAGCAAAUCAUGAACAUAAGAAGAGUAAUAUCUUCCAUUUUUGAAUUAUUGUAAUUUAUCAAAAUAGUUUGCCCCUAUUUAACAAAGAGGGAGCAGGCAUGCAGCUGGCAGAAUAUUCUCGUAACUGAUCAAAUUCAUUUUAAUACAUUUUGUUAUCAUCCAUCAAUCAGUAAAAGUCAAGCCUACUAAAGCACUAUACCCAACUCUUAUUAUCAAAUUCAAGCCUACUACACUUCAUUUUCUUUGAAUCUUGGAGUGAAUAACCAGCUCAGAUUUUAAAUAACAAAGUCAACUAGGUUUAGCUCCACAAACUUCCCAUGAGACAUGCAUCACAAUCCUUGCCUGUGGCAGUGCCACGAAUGAAAAGUUUUUUGCCUUCCUCACUUGCAAAAGAAAAUAAAGUUGGUUUAGCAUUUAACACAUUAGUGUUCUUUGCCUAACUUUGCUAUUUGAAUUUCUUCCCAUGGAUUUUAUAGCCCACAUUUGGCCACCACAAAAAAUGUUCUAAGAUCCUAAAUUGAUAUGAUAAAAAAAGUACAAUUAUCCAGUAUGUAUUUUAUAUAUAAUUUGUGUUGUGAGGGCCAAGUGUACGGCAACAAUGCCAUAUACUAAUAUUAGGGUAGUGGGAUUUUGGUAGCUAUUGGAUUGGUUUCAAUCCGGACCACUUGCUCCUGUAUAUAAGCUAGGGUUUUUGGGCUAAUUAAUAUGCACAUUCCAUAUUCCAUGCACUCACAUUGGUGGAGAUGAGGGGCACUUUUGAUUGUCCAUGGGGAGUGUUUAGAUUUGGGAUUUUGGUUUAGAUCUAGCUUUUGGAUCGUCUAAAUUUAGUUUUUUCCAUUUCUUUUCUUUUGUUCUUUCCUUUCAGGAUUUUGGUUUAGAUCUAGCUUUUUGCAUUGUUUAGAUUUACCAUUUCCUUCCAGCUUUUUGUCAUUUAUCUUUCUUCGUUCGUCUUCAUGGCAGAUCAACAAUCUCCUCCUUUGACUCUGGAGCAACAGUUAGUACAAUUGCUUGAUGCUAUGCGCUUGCAAUUGAACAACCAAACUUAGUUGAUGGCGGCGUUCACGGCACGUGGUACAACUCCUCCUACUCUUGGUGCCAAUCCUCGCGUUCGGCUAGAGUUCUUUUGCGGGAAUCCUGGGGAUGAUGUGUACCAUUGGUUCGAUCACUUCACAGUGAUUGCCACAUAUCAUUCUUGGGAUGAUGCUCGAUGUUUGCGUGAGUUUCCCAUGUGUCUUCAAGGGACGGCAUUGCAGUGGUACAAUGGUUUGAGCGCAGCCACUUGUGGGGAUUGGAGUGUUCUCCCGGACGUCUUCAAACGUGCCUUCAAACAUGCCGACGACUGUGACAAUGUCUUCUAACAAUUGCAUCGUCUUUGCCAAGGGCCAUCUGAGUCGGUGAUGCAAUUUGGUGUUCGUUUCCGAAGUCUUUUGCUUCGUGCGAAGCCAAAUAUGUCGGAGCGGAUCAAGCUAGGAAUGUUGUGGCCAACACUUCGUCAAGAUCUUGUUGAACUUGUGCAUGCACUUGCUCCCGCCACCCUUGACGAUGCUCUUCGCUUGGCACAACGUUAUGAGAUGUCGCCUCUUCCACUUCUCGUUGCACAUCCUUUAGCUCCACUUCCUGUGGGUGAUGGUCAUGUUCCAAUGGAGGUUGAUGUUGCUGCUGCUCGAGUCCAAGGCCAAGGGUGAGGACGUGGUCGUGGCCGUGAUGUUCGCUCUAGGCAUGUGAUGAAGUUGGUUAUACUUAUCGGCGUUGUCAACGUUUUCCGGAUUGGUGACCUCUAUUUCCUGGGUGGAGACCUUGGCAUUAGUAACGUCCCGUUGGUACUGCUGUAGUGGAAGGUUUGGACGCCGAGAUGCAUCCAGGAAAUGAGGAGUCGCGCGAGUAAUGGAGGGACCUUGCGUGAAUAAGUCAGUGACCCCUCCAUCUUUCUUUCGGGAGUAUCAUCAAGGGGUUCACUCAGCACCAGUUCAUCCAGUGUUUACUUUCCAAGCUCGUCUUUAUAACAAGUUGUCUCCUAUUAUUCUCUCCGUGUUGGUUGAUAUAGGUUCAAGUUUAUCUUCUAUUGCUCGACUUGUUGCCACACAUUGUUGUCUACACUUGCGUCAUGCGGCGAAACUAGUUUUCAUUCUUUAUGGCAAUGGCUGUACACAUGCAUGUGCACGGGAUGAGGCAGACCUGGUUGUGCGUGUGGGCGAUCUCGAGCUUGAGUUGCAGUCGUUGCAGGUGGUGCCAAGUCAAGCUUUUGACCUCAUUUUUGGUAUGGAUUGAUUGCAGCGCAAUCAUGCCAAGUGUGACUUUGAGGCUUCUCCUUCUUAUCUCAUACUUCCUUAUGUUUCAUCCAUUCCUCUCACUUCCUUACCUCUUCAUCCCUCUACUUCUACUUCUGUUUCUAUUACUUUUGUUCCCCCAUUAUUUCCUCCUGUGUUUCUAUCUUGUUCUGCUCUUAUCAUCUAGAGCCAAGAUUGCCACACGUCAUCCGAUUCCAACUGGGGAUGCUCGUCCAAUCAAGGUACCUGUUCGUCGUUGGUCACCAAAGGAGAUUAAGAUUUUACGUGCAAAUGUCAAGGAGAUGUUGGAGAAGGGUGUUAUUCGGAAGUUGCGGAGUCCUUGGGCAUGUGAACCUCAUCUUGUGACGAAACCUGAUGGGAGUAUUCGUUUCUGCAUUGACUAUCGUCCGUUUUACUACGUAACGAUCCCAGAUGUGUACCCUCUUCUUCACACUGCUAAUCUUUUGGAUCGUCUGGGGUGAAGUCGUUGGUUCACCAAGCUAGAUUUUGCUUCUGGGUACUGGCAAGUACCGAUGGCCGAAGAAGAUAUUCUUAAAACUGCUUUUCGUACACUAUUUGGUUUGUAUGAGUUCUUGGUGAUGCCGUUUGGUUUGAAAAAUGCUCUAGCAACUUUUCAACAGAUGAUGGACGAGGUUCUUUGCGAUAUACCAGAGAUGACUGCUGACUUCAUUGAUGAUGUCUUGAUCCACUCGGAGGGGACGUAGAAGGAGCACGUUCGUGAUGUUUGUAAAGUGUUGGAUCGGUUACGUGAUGUUGAUUUAAAGCUGAAGCGGUCGAAGUGCGUGUUUGGAUCCAAGGACACAACUUAUCUUGGGUACCGUAUUUUUCGUGAGGGUUUGCAAGUUGAUCAUGACAAACUUGUGGCUGUUCUAAAGUUCCCUACUCCGAAGUGUGUGAAUGAUGUGCAACGCUUCUUGAGCAAGGUGCAGUAUCUUGGACGUUUUGUGGAUCAGCUUUCUGAUCGCACUGCACCGUUGUGAGUGAAUAUGACUUCGGGUAUCGAAAGUUACCUGUCAGCUAGUCCUUUCGGAUAUUCUUUCCUUACUGCCACGACGGCAGGAGAUCGGUGUUGCUGGACCCGUUAUCAAUUUCCCACUUGAGCUAGUUGAGAAACUGGUCAAUGACCGUGUACUUAAAUCGGAUAAACAUAAGGUAGGAACUCCUAUGUGUUUUUAGCUGAGCAUACUUAGCCUGGUUUGAGAAACUCCUGUCUUUGGCUUGCACUUGCUAGUAUCAAGAACCCUCAUGAUAUUGAGAUUGGUCCCUCAACAUCGCUAGAUGAUAGCUUACCGUGUUUGCCAAACACCCUUGCUAUCAUGCCCUUUGUGUUAGUCUCAUUCGGUCUUAAAUGCUAUUUAUGAAAAGUGUCUAGAUUUGCUCAUUUGGCAUAUCUACGGAAUGUAAAGAUUGUGUUGAACACAAUAGUGUUCGUCCCGUGUCCAAAUUCGCAAUCUAAUGCCAUUCCAUAUUUAGUAAGUUUCGAGCUUGUCCCAGAGAUUAACUCCUGAUACUAAGGGAGGCUUGGGGUGAAAGCCCAAAGCGUGUGUUCCUUAAGGGGGGGGGCUAUGGGGGGUUCCAAAAGUAUAGUAGGGAUAGUGAGUAGGUCGGGCAUGGCCGACCAACCUAAGGCAUAGUCUAGCUCUCGCUUGCGUGCCUGUCCUUGUUCUGUGUUCGGCUUGGGUCUAAGCCCAAGUUCCAUACCAUGCUAGUUGGUGGGGUACUCAUAUCCUCGCGUUAGGCCACCUGUAUGCCGAAAUAGCGCCAAACUUUGUUUGGCUCCAUUUUGUGUGCUGGUCCUGGCAUUGGGAUGCUGGAUACUCUAGGACUAUUCCAAGUCGCUUCGUGCCCCUGUCUCUUCGCUCCUUGGGCUACAUGCUCGGGAGUUGCUCCAUGGUUCGGUUCCAUCACUCCUUGGCUCCAUGCUUGGGAGUUUUGCACCGUUCCUUCGUUCAGUGGCCCAAGGCCCUGAACCUCAGGUUCCACACCACUGUCCUAUGGACAUGUGGCAUGUGACACAUGGCAUCUGUCACGUGGCAUAAAGGGGGUUUAGGUUCCGCUUCGUGGUGUUAUCCUAUGGUAAAUCACCAUAGGAUAAAGGGUAUUUGGUAUCAGAGGAUGAGUCUCAGCGAGUACUAUACAAUGAGAUUGGGCAAUUAAUCUUGUUGCAUACGCAGAGAUGAAAACAAUGAUUUGAGUGGGUAUACGUUUGCGUGCAAAAGCUUCGCAAUUGUUCCUUAGGUAUGGAUUUUGGUUACCUUUUCAUACUAGAGUAAUGAGCUUUCGCUUGGGCUCAUAAGUUGGAUGUAAGGUGUUCUGUUUUGCACGAGUUUGCACUUGGGCUCGUGAGUGAGGCACAUUAGCAACUCGAGGUUACACUUUGAGUUGGCAAGAUUACUAUUAACUUCUAUGAGUUGUUCCAAUGGUUUUAUGAGUUGUUCCUUGUGCCAUGGGACAAAGUAAACCUUCCCUGGGUUUGCAAAAGAGUGGCGAAUAAGCUGGUCCGUAGCUGUUUAGCAUGGCACUAGUGGAUCCUUCCUAGGCAUGAUUAUAAGAGGGAUCAACAAGACUGUAGGGAUUAGUCUAUUGGUUCAAGUAGUCAUUGCCGUGCUCUCUCAUAAACUUUUCUUGGAUUGGACUGAAGGCAGUGCAAACACAAGCUUAAGGUUUAAUCAAAAUUGAGACCGAAAAGAGAGUCGUCAGGGACGAAGGAUCAAACAUGUAAAUCAUCUUCUCUUCUUGAAGAGAUGAUUUGCAAUGAAGUGUAACUCAUUGCUUGUAUUCACAUCAUGCAAUCAAGAGUCCUUACUUUAAUGUAUAUUGGAAAUGAUGGUCUUUCAAAUAGUGAGUUGUGGGAUGGAUAGUGGUGAAGCAUUAAACCAUUUUGUCUAGGCUUGCUAUUGAAGAUGUGGGUUGCAAUGCUCAAUUCUUUUCCGGGGAACUUUGCUAUUGCUCCUUGAGUAGCUUGGUGUUGGAUUAGCUUUGAGUUUGAUCAGAAAGAGAGUGGCAUGAGCUUGUCCGUGUUGUGAAUAAAAGUUAAUGGUGUUGGGUGUUGUAAAUCUCUAUUGGUGGAGUGUGGUAUUUAUGUUGUAUUUUGUCGAGUCGAGUUAACACUUGAUACUCACAUAAACCUUUGUAAUAAUGACAUGGGUGUUGCUCGUGGUGUUGCUUAAUUGAUGAUCAAGUUAUUGUGAUUUCUUAUAUCAUAACCAUGUGAUAAUGAACAAUGUGUUUACAAAGUUGCUUGGUUAAACGAUGAUCAACCCUAAAGUGGUUGAUAGUCUACUUGCACAUAAUAGCAUUGUAGUAGCUUCGACUGGAUUCUCGAUGGUGGUCCAUUAUGCUAAGCUUAAGUUGGUACUUUGUUUCCUUGAGGGUUUACCCAUUAAGUGUUGGAAAGGGUUAUAGCAUUCACUUGCUAUAGCUUGUUGGUUGAUCUAUUAGCACUUGGAGUAGAUUGUUGGAUGGAGAAGGUGUGGAGUUGAGGCAUUGACAUCACUAGCACUGGUGUUAGUGAAAGUGGCAUUGUUAUUUUGAGUGAUGAGGAGUUCUUCUUAGACCUUGAUUUUCAUGUCAUUUUUCUUGUUAGUGUUUUGGCUUCACAUUGGAUCUUGAAAGUGGUUGAAGAAGAGUGUUAGUACAAUGUGGAUGUCUGAAGAUGUGGUCUUUGUGAUCAAGCCUUAGAUGUUCAUUUUGCACUUUGCGAAUGUCGGUGUUGGAUGUCGGAAGUAUGGGCAAAGAUGUUCGAUACUUUAGCAUAUUGUUGGGUCAUGAGAAUUGGUGUUGAAGUGAACCUAUGUGAAGUUGUUAGUAGGAGGAAGUUGGUUGAGUCUUGAAAGUUUGCAUUCCUAAACUGAGAGUCAUUCUUUCUCUAGGACGGAAAUUUUCUACAAAUUUUCUUAGACUUUUCUAAUGGCUGAUCUAUUGAUCACUUUGCUCGAAAACCAUUCCGUUUUCGUAAGCCAAUACAAACUAGUGAAAGGGUUGGAGUUGAUUUCAAUUAACUUAGACCUUAAUAGGUGGUUUAUAUGAUGCGACCCGAAAGGGAUGCUAACUUUUAGGGCUAAGGCAAUUGAGUUGGAUAGAGUCUGGAGUUGGUAUAGAAAAGUGGCCAUUGCACUUUUCUAGAAAGGUGGCUCUUAUACCUUUCUUCUGUAGCAUUAUGCUUGGUGGCAGGUUGCACCUUGCAUUUCAUUAUACUCUAUGAGAGUAGUGAGCUCUCACUGAUCUUGACUUAGUCUCGGGGUUUUGCGCCUUGGCUGAGGAUAGUGAUGUCCAACUUAGUUGUUUGAGGUUGAGAUGUUGGUACCUGUACUAUAGCCUUGUUCAUGAGGAGGUUGUGUACCAAUAUGUGUCCAUCUCAUGGUCUUCACUUUAGUUUGAUUAUGCAUAGCUAGCCUCUUCAAGGCAUGCUCGGAGCUAUAGGCUAAAUGCAUUAGUGAGCUUAUUGCGGUUGAGUUGGAUUCGAGUGGUCAUUUAGUUCAUGCUUGUCACAUAAGAUCUCUAGAGUUGGGAUGAUACAAANNNNNNNNNNNNNNNNNNNNNNNNNNNNNNNNNNNNNNNNNNNNNNNNNNNNNNNNNNNNNNNNNNNNNNNNNNNNNNNNNNNNNNNNNNNNNNNNNNNNUUCGUGCAUUUGCUAGUUAGCAAUUGGUAUAAAUGUUUAAAUGAACUGAGUGGCAACUUGAGUUAAUUGUGUUCUAGACGAGAUUUUUUAGUAGAGGUUAAGCUUUGAGCUUUUCGUUGAAAAGUGAUUUAGUCGUGGACUAUGCUAACUCUACAAGUAGAAGAGUUAGUGAUUGGUAUUGAAGUGAUUGAAUCCUUGUUGGAUUUCAAUUGGGAUAUAUCGAUCAUUGAUAAUUCUUCUUGUGCUUGUUAUUAAGUGAGUUAUGUCUUGCUAGAGAUGGAUUCAUGGCGGAUCGAUUAGAUGAUCACUUGUUGAGCAUAGCUUCAUUAUGCUUAGCUUUUGGAUUGAUGCAAAAAUGCUCUUCAUUAGCUUUGUCAUUAUGAAAUUUGGCUUAUGGAUAUGUUGAGGAGGAUAUUGUGGGUUAUACCAUGAUUUCUUCUUUAGCAUUGAAGUUAAUUCAUGCAAGACUUGUGAUCAUUGUUAGGCAAGACUUGGCUAUAAGCUUUUUCAAGCUUUUGGUCUCUUGAGUUUUUAUGCUCAUUGUUCCAUUAGUUAGAAGUUGUUGGGGAAGGCAUUUUGGCUCAUUAGCUUCGAUGUUGAAGUUGGUUUUUGCAUCUAGCAAUCCUUGGUAAUGAUUGACUAUUAUCUAGGAUAGUUGAUUGUCCUUGUCGAAAGGUUUUGCUUGAUUGUUGUUGAUAUAGAAUGAUUUGCUAUUCUUCGGGAUGGUGAAUUCUUUCUUCAAUGAUGAUUUUGCAUAUCUCUUAUUAAUGGGAUGAUUGAUGAUCUUUCAUGAUGGUUCAUUAUUCUCUUUAAUGGCUUAUGGCUUUUCGCAAUCCCACAUGUUCUUUGUGGUUUGCCUUGGAUUGGUCUCUUGGGUUUGAGAUAUUAGUAGGAUGUUGCUGACACUUGUUUAAACAACUUGAGUUCCUUGGCAUUAUUGAUUGGGAUCUAUUUGGAUUAGCUAGUGUGAUAGUUAGCAUGAACGAGUGUUUGUUUGUUUCGCAACAUUCAUUCUGUUCUGUUAAUUGUUGCUAAGGUUGGUUUUGAUAGAUUCAGAUGUUAUUUCCUUUGGGUGAUACAUUCGUGAGCAUUGUGUUUGCCAGUCGAUAAUACUUUGUGAUCUUUUAGUUGUCUUUUAGUAAGUUGUUUAGUAUCCUGUCUACAAUCUUCGGUAGUUAAGCUUUCUCAUUGAGUUUACUUGAUGAUAUACUUGCUAUUGAAUUUUGUUCGAUGGUGAAUCCUAUGUUUUCUAAUGAUAAUGAUCUUGGUUGAUCCUAUACUAUAUAUUAUAAUACUUGUUUAUCGGAUGAUAACUUACUUGGAAUACUUUUGUGUUCUCAUUUAAGAUUUAAUCACUGAUAAUUAAGACUCUCAGAUAUCAUUGUUUAUGACUUUGAUAUUGUCCAUUUAUUGAUCUUUGAGUUUGGGCCAGUAUAGGCAGACUGGCUUCAGCACUUCGUGUGCAUGCUGAAAUCUCUAGUCAUGGGGUAGCUACUGUCGACUGGUCAUAUCACUCGCCUCUCUGUCGAUGUUUCUUAUGUCAUUAAAAGGGCGUGACUGUGUAAACAACUCUAAUUGCCUGUUUACAGUAGUCUAUCUAAACCUUACCGACAGGUUUGGUUUCUUUGUUCAUAAGAGUUGGGGCCUCUGGCUUCUCUCUCUAUAUCUUUGCGGGCAGGGGCAUAUCACACUUUUGUAGCUAGGUGACAUCCAGAGCAGCAAGGGUGGCUAACUCCAUUGGUCAUUUCCUUGUCAGCGACAACCGGAAGGUGUCUAAGUUGGUAGCGCAUCCGCGUUAGACAAAGAGGUUACCCCUAACUCAUUUAAGUUGGUGCAUUUCUCACAUAGUGUGAGUACUGUGAACUUUUUCUAGAGUUGUUUCCUUAGUGGUAUUCUAGACUCGAGUAUGCAUCGACGAAGACGUCGAUCUUCCCUAGGGGGGGAGAGUGUCGCGAAUGUGACUUCGGGUAUUGAAAGUUACCUGUUGGCUAAUCCUUUUCGAUAUUCUUUCCUUACUACCACGACGGCAGAAGAUCGGUGUUGCUGGACCCGUUAUCAGUUUCCCACUUGAGCUAGUUGAGAAACUAGUCAAUGACUGUGUACUUAAAUCGAAUAAACAUAAGGUAGGAACUCCUAUGUGUUUUUAGCUGAGCAUACUCGGCCUGGUUUGAAAAACUCCUGUCUUUGGCUUGCACUUACUAGUAUCAAGAACCCCCGCGAUAUUGAGAUUGGUCCCUCAACAUCGCUAGAUGAUAGCUUAUCGUGUUUGCCAAACACCUGUACACGACUAAUUUUUCCAUUCUACUUUAGUCACUUAACCACACCUCCGACCACUUGGAGGAGUCUCAUUCACAACCUCCAUCAGUCCAAUUCAGGACUUGGGACUUGCUAGCCCCGAGAAUGGCAUCCAUGCCACUCAACAUUUGCACUUGGUCCAAGUGCUCCACGUGUCCGAUCCCAUGACCGACACUCAAAGGUACUACCGACAUGGCAGCUUGUUAUGCUAAGGCCAUGCCCAAUCACCUUUGCCACACUGGUAGUCCAAUACCACUUGCAUCACAGUCUUGGCUCUCCAAGACUAGGCAAACCAUCCGUGAGUGGUCAUCUCAGAUCCACUCCUUAGCAUCCUUAGGAUGCCCACCGACAAGGGGAAUAGCCUUCCCCAAUAUCCCUCUGUCAGUCCCCACUAAGUCCCUUUUUGCCCUUGGCCGUGUUUGCCAACACUACCACUGGAUCGAGGCCCACAGGCCCGACCACUAAGUCCCACGGUCCUCUGGGACUUCCUCACCGCACGACUGUGUCCUUGGUCACUGCCCCAGAGGACUACUCCUCUUCCUUUCCACAGUCUGGGCCUUUGGGAUAACAUUUCGGAACACUGUGGCCUUACGCGAGCCACCUGGGUACUCUCCCCGCCUUCCGCCCUUGGGUGCUCUAGCCAUGGGCUUAGAGUGAGGUUCCGUUGAGCCACGCCUGGUAUCCGAGUAGGUAGUGCCACCCACACUUGGACUAGGAGCAUCGGCCAGUCGAUCUCCCGGGGGAACUAGAGCCGGCUCUUGAACACUUCACCAAGCUACCUCGCUUGUCAGUCCGUGUUCACUCUAGUCUUGGACUUCCCAGUGGUCAGCUCAUCACCCAACACUGGGUCUGGCCUUCCUGGGCCAAACUGGCCUUUCCUGGCCAAACUGGCUCCACUGGGCUCCAACCCCCACACUCUCCCUACUAUACUUUUGGAACCCCCCGCAANNNNNNNNNNNNNNNNNNNNNNNNNNNNNNNNNNNNNNNNNNNNNNNNNNNNNNNNNNNNNNNNNNNNNNNNNNNNNNNNNNNNNNNNNNNNNNNNNNNNCGGACUCGGACUCGGUCUCGGUCCCGGUUUCGGACUCGGACUCGGUCUCGGUCUCGGUUUCGGCCUCGGUCUCGGUCUCGGUCUCGGGUCCAUCUCGGACUCCAUCUCAGACUCCAUCUCGGGUCCAUCUCGAACUCCACCUCGGGUCCAUCUCGGACUCCAUCUCGGGUCCAUCUCGGACUCCAUUUCAAGUCCAUCUCGGACUCCAUCUUGGGUCCAUCUCAGACUCCAUCUCGGGUCCAUCUCGGACUCCAUCUCGGUCCAUCUCGGACUCCAUCUCGGACUCCAUCUUGGACUCCAUAUCGGACUCCAUCUCGGACUCCAUAUCGGACUCCAUCUCGGACUCCAUCUCGGACUCCAUAUCGGACUCCAUUUUGGACUCCAUCUCGGACUCCGUAUCGGACUCCAUUUCGGGUCCAUCUCAGACUCCAUCUCGGACUCCAUAUCGGACUUCACUUCGGGUCCAUCUCGGACUCCAUAUCGGACUUCACUUCGGGUCUAUCUCGAACUCCAUCUCGGACUCUAUAUCGGACUCCACUUCGGGUCCAUCUCUAGAGCCUCGCUUAUGGCUCGCUUCGUGCUCAUUCCUCGAGCACUUUGUUGGGAGUUCCACUCCCGCUCUCGACCUUUCAAGUCGGAGCUUUUAGUCCAAACGUGUUACACUCGUUUGGCUUUCGCUUCGGCCACUACCACGUGGCACCCUUCCAGCUCCACUUUGGGGCCUAGGGAUUUUGUGUCUCACAACUCCACCACCCAUAAACAAAGUUCGAUGUCCUCAUCGAAUGGUGAACCAUUUUAUAAAGUAACACCCACAUGUGUUACCAUUUCCAUCUUUGGCGCGUAGCUAAUAUUUGUCAAUGGUUUGACAUUGAAGGCUCACCAUGCCUUCUCCAUAUUCGUCAAUGGUUGGACAUUGAAGGCUCACCAUGCCUUUUGCAUAUUCCUCAAUGGUUUGACACCAAAGGCUCACCAUGCCUUACCUAUCCUCUAAGGAGGGUAGUCUCUCCAACUUAGAGGCUGAUUGGACCACAUAUAGUGGUUCUCUCCUUUUAUUGGUUUAGUUCUCGCUAAACCUUUUAGAGACCCUUCUCUAAGUCAAUCCCACUACUCCUUCUCGAGUAGUCUCAAUUUCCAUUUAUUGAACGUUUGCACCUUGGAACUUUUACUCUUUUGACUUUUGGAAGUCAAUUUCCUAGGUGUCUCCAACACCUUGCAUUGCACAGAUUGUGCAACUCCACUUCCCCAUCCUAGGAAGUUCAUUACUUGAGGGCACCAUCUAUUUCGUGCCACCUUGGGCACUAAGUUCCAUUUAUCAUACUUUGUGCUAGAGCUGUCCAUGGCCCUAUCAUUUGGCUACCUUACCGCUCUCUCCCUUGGAGCUUCCACUUUCGCCAAAUCGGAGCAAUUCGGAAUCCAUCCUUGAAAACACACUUCCUUUCCCGCAAUUUGUUAGCGUCCAACACAUUAGUGUUCCUCGCCUAACUUUGUCACUUGGAUUCCUUCCAAGGGAUUCCACGGCCCUAUCUUGGCCACUCAUCUUUUGCUCCUAUUCGUUGAUUGUUGCACCAAGCAACAUUGAAUCUCUACCUCCCUCCUUGAGGUAUUCUUUUGAUUCCAUAGCAAAGGCUCUACUUUGCCAAGACUAGGGUGUUCACCCCUAGUAAGUCUCUUUUAGCAUCUUCUGCUGUGGGCUCUAUCCACAGCCCAACUUUGUGACCCUCCUAUAGGUCUCUUUAGAGACUACUUUCCUUGGACACACUAUGCCAUCGCAAUGACAUAGCUCAUUUCCCUAAGGUGCUUUUCCCACUUGGUCACCUUGACCAAGCCACACCAUCAUCAAUAGUUCAAAUCAACACUUUGAACUAGGAACCUUAUUCCUUAACCCAAACAAGGACCUUGUCCUUAUUUAGCCACAAAAUCACCUAGUGAUCUCACCUCGGCACCUUAACAGGUUUGCCAAUAGGUACUAGGUCUUCCAGACCUUUAACUUGUUAAUUACAACCCCGGGGGCAUCCCCCACAUUUGGCGGUGCGCCCAAGCCAGCCCUUCCGGCCAAGGGUCCAUAGCAAUUGAGACUGGGUGUCCCCAUCUCAUUCACCACGUCCUUGGUGCCACUGGCACCAAAGUGUUUAAGUUAGAUAUGCUGAGCCACACUAAGUAAUCUAACCGUGCAUCACGACUCCGGGGCAUCCCCCGCUUAGCGGUGUGCCCAAGCCAAUAUCCUCAUUGAGAGUCCAUGACCACCGAAAUAUGAGUGUCCUCAUAGUCCAAACCAUCACCACGCCCUAGUGAUUUGGGACUCGAACCCAAGCACUAGAGGGUCGGGACUCGAACCCAACCUCCGUAUAUACAUCUACGGAAGGCAUCAUCCAAGAUGCCUGGCGUGACUCCCCACGCCGGUGCACCAACUUAUACUUGAAGCGCGCUAUAGAUCACAACUUAGGAACCUAGUUCCUCCCCACUGCCAAGUCCUCUCACUUGACAAGCCUGUGAUCAUGCAUGGACUCCUCCAUGCUUGGCCCCAUGGCCCACCCUUUUUGAAGUUAUCAACUUCAACUAGGGUAUUUGUUCCCCUGACUUGCCAAUCUCGCUUUGGCAAGUCCUCCGACCACUGUAACAUGGUUCCUGCACAAGCGUGAAAGCCCUUGAUCAUCGACUUUCGUUCAAAGCCUUCUCUUUGAACACUCGGGAACUACUUCCCUAACCUUGAUAGCCUUGCCUCAUGGCAAGCUUCAAGACCACGCUUCUGCUGCGCCAUUCUGAUUUCGCGCGUUCCUUGAACCAUUUACGCUUGGCCUUUCUAGGUACUAAGCUACCUAGAAUCCUCUUUGGGAACUUUGAAGGAACUCUGUCCCUUAGCUUGCUAAAGCCCCCCCUUUUUGCAAGCUUUUCAAUUACCAUAUAGUCUAACAUGGACAAUUCCAUAUUUUAGACUCUCCAUGGCAUCGCGGUUGCUAGCGGCAACACCCUCGAGCCCCCACUUGAUUCUCCACUCCCCGCUGGCAUAACCAACCUUGGUUAUGCCCUUCGAUUCCUAUGGUUCGGUUCUAUCCCCUUACUUCUUGCUUUUGGCUUCACACCUUUCCUUCGGUCAUUCUCCUCCAGACCAGGAGGAUAACUUUGCACUUUCUAUCAUGCCUUAGCAAAUAUUCUUAGGGAUGAACCUACCCGAUAGCCUAGGGAGUGGUUCCUCAAUCCAGAUAUGCUCACCCUAUAAUCCCACACACCGGGAUUACUUUGUUGCUUACGGGCCUUUGCAUGCCCAUCGCUAGCCUUGCCAAAAUUCCAUUUUUGGCUUUGUCCAAUUCGAGUAGACAGUCUUCUCCUGUCUCCGCCACCUUAGACAUUUGGAUAGCACCUACUAUCCAUCAUUCGCUAGGGACUUAGUCCCUUGGGCCUUAUCUAUUGCCCUCGCGACAUCAAACACCACCUCCUGGUGUUCUAGAGUGUUCGGGUGUCCCAAUGACGGCUUCCUUGACAAUGAGUAUUUCCUUUUAUGACAUUGACUUACUAUAUCGCAACAUAAGCAACUUAUCCCCCGUAAGGAUAUAUCCAACUUCCCUAUGCCAUUAAGAAGGCUUGGGUAGCUACCUCCUACCUGUUUAACCAAUUAUUUUGCACCUCUUGCUUAGUUGCCUCGUAGUUGUCAAGUCCUACAACUCAUUGCUGGUGCUUUCACACCUCCAUCAUUAUCUGGGUCACCACACUCUAAUUGCAUGCUCUGCAGCUUAGGCUAUGCCAUUCCCAUUUCUAUUGGGAUUCCUUUGGCAAGGGGUUCUCAUGACCCCACCAACAUAACCUCAAGGUAUCACACCUUGGCACAUUUAGUGUUUCCACACCAUCGGCUCCACGAGCCUACCUCUAUGACACUUCUUCUUUGUGUCUAAGUCUUUGCCAAGACUAAUACCACUCUUUCUCAUGCCAACCAUCUGUUAGCACUGCAUCAUAGAGGUCACACACAACUUUGUGUCAAAGUUGUUUUCUUUUUGGGAACACCUUUCCCACGACUUUGGCAUGGCACAUUUUGCCAUCGAUGAGAUACCCUCUGUUCUCAUCCUUGGAUCCUAUGAUCCCCCCCCCAUCCUUUGUGGGGUACAACACACCUCAGUCCAAAUGCUUCCAUCAGUCCAAAUUGUACACGACUAAUUUUUCCAUUCUACUUUAGUCACUUAACCACACCUCCGACCACUUGGAGGAGUCUCAUUCACAACCUCCAUCAGUCCAAUUCAGGACUUGGGACUUGCUAGCCCCGAGAAUGGCAUCCAUGCCACUCAACAUUUGCACUUGGUCCAAGUGCUCCACGUGUCCGAUCCCAUGACCGACACUCAAAGGUACUACCGACAUGGCAGCUUGUUAUGCUAAGGCCAUGCCCAAUCACCUUUGCCACACUGGUAGUCCAAUACCACUUGCAUCACAGUCUUGGCUCUCCAAGACUAGGCAAACCAUCCGUGAGUGGUCAUCUCAGAUCCACUCCUUAGCAUCCUUAGGAUGCCCACCGACAAGGGGAAUAGCCUUCCCCAAUAUCCCUCUGUCAGUCCCCACUAAGUCCCUUUUUGCCCUUGGCCGUGUUUGCCAACACUGCCACUGGAUCGAGGCCCACAGGCCCGACCACUAAGUCCCACGGUCCUCUGGGACUUCCUCACCGCACGACUGUGUCCUUGGUCACUGCCCCAGAGGACUGCUCCUCUUCCUUUCCACAGUCUGGGCCUUUGGGAUAACAUUUCGGAACACUGUGGCCUUACGCGAGCCACCUGGGUACUCUCCCCGCCUUCCGCCCUUGGGUGCUCUAGCCAUGGGCUUAGAGUGAGGUUCCGUUGAGCCACGCCUGGUAUCCGAGUAGGUAGUGCCACCCACACUUGGACUAGGAGCAUCGGCCNNNNNNNNNNNNNNNNNNNNNNNNNNNNNNNNNNNNNNNNNNNNNNNNNNNNNNNNNNNNNNNNNNNNNNNNNNNNNNNNNNNNNNNNNNNNNNNNNNNNCGUGUUCACUCUAGUCUUGGACUUCCCAGUGGUCAGCUCAUCACCCAACACUGGGUCUGGCCUUCCUGGGCCAAACUGGCCUUUCCUGGCCAAACUGGCUCCACUGGGCUCCAACCCCCACACUCUCCCGGACUCGGUCUCGGUCUCGGUCUCGGUCUCGGUCUCGGUCUCUGUCUCGGUCUCGGUCCCGGUCCCGGUCUCGGUUCCAUCUCAGACUCCAUCUCGGACUCCACCUCGGGUCCAUCUCGAACUCCACCUCGGGUCCAUCUCGGACUCCAUCUCGGGUCCAUCUCGGACUCCAUUUCAAGUCCAUCUCGGACUCCAUCUUGGGUCCAUCUCAGACUCCAUCUCGGGUCCAUCUCGGACUCCAUCUCGGUCCAUCUCGGACUCCAUCUCGGACUCCAUCUUGGACUCCAUAUCGGACUCCAUCUCGGACUCCAUAUCGGACUCCAUCUCGGACUCCAUCUCGGACUCCAUAUCGGACUCCAUUUUGGACUCCAUCUCGGACUCCGUAUCGGACUCCAUUUCGGGUCCAUCUCAGACUCCAUCUCGGACUCCAUAUCGGACUUCACUUCGGGUCCAUCUCGGACUCCAUAUCGGACUUCACUUCGGGUCCAUCUCGAACUCCAUCUCGGACUCCAUAUCGGACUCCACUUCGGGUCCAUCUCUAGAGCCUCGCUUAUGGCUCGCUUCGUGCUCAUUCCUCGAGCACUUUGUUGGGAGUUCCACUCCUGCUCUCGACCUUUCAAGUCGGAGCUUUUAGUCCAAAUGUGUUACACUCGUUUGGCUUUCGCUUCGGCCACUACCACGUGGCGCCCUUCCAGCUCCACUUUGGGGCCUAUGGAUUUUGUGUCUCACAACACCCUCGCUAUCAUGCCCUUUGUGUUAGUCUCAUUCGGUCUUAAAUGCUAUUUAUGAAAAGUGUCUAGAUUUGCUCAUUUGACAUAUUUACGGAAUGUAGAGAUUGUGCUGAACACCAUGGUGUUCGUCUCGUGUCCAAAUUCACAAUCUAGCACCAUUCCAUAUUUAGUAAGUUUCAAGCUUGUCCCAGAGACUAACUCCUGAUACAAAGGGAGGCUUGGGGUGAAAGCCCAAAGCGUGUGUUCCUCAAGGGGGGGGGGGGGGGGGGGGGGCUAUGAGGGGUUCCAAAAGUAUAGUAGGGAUAGUGGGUAGGUUGGGCAUGGCUGACCAAUCUGAGGCAUAGUUUAGCUCCUGCUUGUGUGCCUGUCCUUGUUUUACGUCCGGCUUAGGUCUUAGCCCAAGUUCCAUACCAUGCUAGUUGGUGGGGUACCCAUAUCCUCACGUUAGGCCACCGGUAUGCCGAAAUAGCGCCAGACUCCAUUUGGCUCCAUUUUGCGUGCUAGUCCUAGCAUUGGGAUGCUAGAUACUCUAGGACUGUUCCAAGUCGCUUCGUGCCCCUGUCCCUUCGCUCCUUGGGCUGCAUGCUCGGGAGUUGCUCCGUGGUUCAGUUCCAUCACUCCUUGGCUCCAUGCUUGGGAGUUUUUCACUGUUCCUUCGUUCAGUGGCCCAAGGCCCUGAACCUCGGGUUCCACACCACUGUCCUAUGGACACGUGGCAUGUGACAUGUGGCAUAUGUCACGUGGCAUAAAGUGGGUUUAGGUUCCGCUUCGUGGUGUUAUCCUAUGGUAAAUCACCAUAGGAUAAAGGGUAAAAACCACAUGCGCUACAGCGUUGCUGAAGUCAUCAACGUCAUCUUUCAUUUGGUCUUCGGAUUGUGAGCCGGUGUUCAGGGAUCUCAAAGAGUUAUUGACAACUCCUCCGGUUUUGGCAUAUCCUGACUACACUCGACCUUUUAUUUUGCGCAUGGAUGCUUCUGACAUUGGUCUUAGAGGUGUGUUAAUGCAAGAGAGCUCGAGUGUGCCUGGUCAGCGCCAUCCCAUUGCAUAUAUAAGCUGUACAUUACAACCAGUGGAGAGGAACUACUCCACGACAGAGAAGGAGUGUUUAGCAGCAGUCUGGGGUUUCGAGAAACUUCAUGCAUAUCUAUAUGGUUCUCGGACGUUACUUGAAGGUGACCAUGUUGCUGUUACUUCGUUAUUGAAGCGGAAGAACCUAGUUGGUCGUACUACUCGGUGGGCUUUGAAACUUCAGAUAUAUGAUUUUGAUGUUGUUCAUUGCCCAGGGAGUUCUAUGGCUAAUGCUGAUGCCCUUUCUCGAGCUCCUCUUCCUUCUCCACUCUCUUCUCAUGUUUUUGACAAGCCUGUUGUUCCAGCAUCUGUGGAUUUUCUAGACGAGGAUUCUGUGCUAUCAGCAGUUGCUAUACUUGACGUUCAGUGUCCACAAGGUGCAUAGCAAAAUCUACCUUCACUUGAUGAGGUUCGCGAGGCUCAAAAGCUUGAGCCGUGGAUUCGAAGGCUUCGAGAUGGGUUUGAGAAUCCUGCAUCACUUGCUGAUGACUUGCCUUUCCGACAUUUACAUUCUCAAUAUCGCCUUGAAGAUGCCCUUCUUUGUUUUGUGGGGACGGAUCCUGAUGAUCAUUUACGGCCGGUGGUGCCUUCUAUCUUUAUUCCAUAGUUUUUCCAUGCUUACCAUGAUUCUCCUAUUCUAGGUGGGCAUAUGGGACAUCAUCAUGUAAUCGAGAAGCUGCGUAGGUCUUUCUAUUGGGCGGAGAUGCGAUGUGAUAUUAUCCGGUACGUGCGUAACUGCGUUUGGUGCCAAGCUCGUAAUACUCCCCCUCGGGCUGCAGAAGGACGGUUGGAGUCAAUUGCAGUUUCCCGUCCGUUUGAGUUGGUGGCGUUUGAUCUUAUGGGACCUUUUCCACGGUCGACUGCUAGCAAUGAGUAUGUUAUUAUUGUUUUUGACUAUUUGACUUGUUGGGUGGAAGUUGGUGCUCUUGCUAGCACCUCUGCAAUUGCUGUUGGAUACUUCCUCCUCAAUCGAGUGGUGUUCCAGCAUUCUUGUCCAGAGUGGAUUCUUUCGGAUAAUGGUCCCACAUUUAUGGCUGAGGCAUUUCAUGUUUUGACGUCUCAGUUGGGGAUACGCCACACUUUCACGAGUGCUUAUCAUCCACAAUCAGACAGUCUGGUGGAACAGCUCGUUCGGACAUUCAAGGGGAUGAUUGUGAAGUAUAUGAACUUUCAGCAUUUAGAUUGGGAUGGUUAUUUGCCAUCUCUUCGGUAUGCAUAUGUCACUAGGGUGCAGAGUUCUAUUGGUGCUUCACCAUAUAAACUCCUAUAUGGUCAUGAUCCAAUAUUACCAACAAAGCUGGGUUUACCUUCUCGAUUGCCACAAGCUGCGGAUGCUAGGUCAUGGGAUUAGUAUUUGACGAGCAUUCUUCCACUUGUCCGAGCGGAGUCUGCCGAACACUUAGGCCGCGUACAAGUGGGACAACAACGGCGGUACAACUCCCAUCAUCGUCCACCUGCGAAGUACAAAGUGGAUGAUUUGGUGUUAGUCCGUUUUCCCCAUCUUACGGUACGUGGUUUAUCUAAGGGGCUCCUUGCACAGAGGAUCAGCCUGCUGGACGUCAUGCCGAACCGCAUAAACUUAUGGUCCAACUUGUCGCAACACCCAAUACGGUCCUUUCCACUAUUGUGCAUAUGCAGCGGUUAAAAUGCUUCAUACAAAGGGAUCAAGAGCAGUUAAUACCAUCUACAGAUCCGCCGAUGCCUCCUUCUGACGUUCCUCCAGAUCCUAGCCCGUCUACAAAAGAACCUUGAUGGUCUUCCAUUAUUCCAAGAGGAGGGGAUGAUGUGAGGGCCAAGUGUACAACUACAAUGCUGUAUACUAAUAUUAGCAUAGUGGGAUUUUAGUAGCCGUCAGAUUGGUUUCAAUCCGGACCACUCGCUCUGUAUAUAAGCUAAGGUUUUUGGGCUAAUUGAUAUGCACAUUUCUGUAUUCCCUUUUCCAUAUUCCAUGCAUUCACAAUGUAUGCUUACAUCAAUUUUUUAACCACCGAAGCUCUAGUCUAGGGAAAGGAAAACAAGUGCAAGAAGUACUUGAUAAGUGUAGUGCACCUUAUCUCUCUCCCCUUAAGCCAACUGGAAAAGGGGCAAUUGCUUGAUGAAAGAGCCCUUAGUGGCUAUUUUAUCCCCAUUUAUCCCCCAAGAUUCCAAGGAUCCACGGUGACAGUAUAUCCAAAUUUCAUCCCAUGAUCACAUGCGCUAAAAUAAGCUACUAUCACAAACCCUUGGUGUGAUCUUGAACUCCUCCGGUUCAUCUUGAGAUGCAGCUGGUUCUUCGAUUUUGCUGGUUGGGGUUUGUGGGCACAAAAGGAUUCAGUUUGCAUGGAUUUUUCCAUAGUUUGGCAUCUUUCGACCGUAGUAAUCUUCGAUACAUGAGUCCACAGCCCUUAUGGUUUCUUCUCGAAAUGCAUCUCUGCAUGGUGUUUUGGCAAUCAGUAUUCGGUCGGAGCAUGGUAUGUACAUACAGCACGGCUGAACUAGCAUUGUACUUUGUUUUUGGAGAACUCACAUCAACAAUCAAUGAUCUCAGCAUGAUCGCUCUCAUUCCUCACAACACCCCCAACAUGUGCGAUGUAGAUAAAGAAAUGCCGUUGCCGGUCCAAAGAGACAAAAGACGGAACCCUUGUUGAAUUUGCGAUCUUGAAGCAUGUUGCCCUAGAAACUGAUCUGAAGCCACAGUGAAAAGACUGGUGAAUCGUAAAGCCAUCUCCUGAUGCAGGUUACCCUAGACACUGGGAAUCCAGUGCUAGAGCCGAAAGGAUGUCCGCUCGCUGCAAGAUCUGCCACGGAAUUCCCCAAAAGAACAAUGAAACCCUUGCUGUGAAUCUUGAAGCCAUCUCCUGAUGCAUGUUACCUUAGACACUGGGAAUCGCAAGCCAUGACGGUCUUCCCCUUCAGAGGCCACUGGGAAUUAUGAAGCUGUCCUGUUUCGUUCCCAACGUUUUGUGUUGCGUUGGUCUCUGAAUCAUUAGUAUAAAAGUUGCCUCUCCAACCUGACGUUGAUAAAAAACCACAUUCUCACAAUUUUGCUCCGUCUACAUAUCCACGCUAGUACUAUCAUCCUCGUGCAGCUUCCAAAUAUCGCCGAUAGUUCUAUCAUUAAUAUUCUUCACAUCUCGAAAGACCAUGCAAUGGUCCCUACUUAAAGGCAUCCCGGGCUUCUGUAGCAACUACAAUUUGUUGAUGCUCCUCAUAAACCUGUGCGGCACUGAAGCCUCUCCGAAGACGCUCUUCAACCCACUUGAUCUUCUGCUUUGAUAGUCGUGGAGCUACAGUGGCAGAGAUAGGAGCUGUAACAUCUUCUGGCCCGUGACAUAUCCUUCCUUGAGCAUCAUCGUGUUCCAUACAAUAAUACAUAAUCUUUGCCAUUUGAAGACACAACACAAACAUUUUGAUGGAGAAGUUACACAUGCAUCCUCACUUGUUUGUUUCCCCACAUUGCACUUUCCUCUUCCUACUUCCAGGACCCUGUUUUGGUUUUUCCGACGAGGUGGGUUCCCACUCAUUCCCCCGAUGAUCAUCAGGCCCAAAGCCACACCAGUACUUCUAUUCUGCAAUGCUGUAUUAGGAGGGGUUAGGGUUUAGGAAUUACGAGGCGAGCUGUGUCACAAAGAGAGGCAAGUGCUCCCAUUCAAUAUCAGGAGCUAGAUUAAAGAACAACCACUCUAGAUUUGGAAGACUGGCAGCCAAAUCAUCCUUGAAUUCUGACUGUCCAAUGUGUAAAUUAGUAAGACCCAGAUCUCUAAGAAGUGUGAAUGAUCCAUCCAGGUUGAACAAGUGGAUACCACCGCAGUCAAUGUCAAGUGUUUCUAGGCGGUGGGGCAACCAUUCAAAGCUGUCAUCACUAUUUUCACUGUCUUCUACCGAUGUAAAACUGUUGAAGCCUGAUUGAGUUCUUAAACAUUCGCUUCAAGGGAGCUCUGCUGACGGACUCCACAUCAAUUUCACAUGUUGUUAGGUUGAUAAGUUGCCAUCGUCCAACGACACUGGCAAAUGCGAUGCUGUCUGCCCAUAAAACCAAUGUUUCAAUGCUCCAGUGUCCCCAUGCUUUCUGGCACCUUCAUUGUACCCUGUGUCAUUUCUAGAUUUAAAUGUCUUAGUUUACGUGAAAUUCCAGUCAAAUCCAAAACUGAUGAGUCCUCUUUUGAACUAACAUUCAGCCCCAGCUCUUCCAAGUCGGAGAGCUGGGGCAGUAAUGCAAUGUUACACUUCAUCGGCAUCCACCGGGUAGUACAUUUUAGAUAUUUCAGUGAUGUCAGGCUGAAAAGCGCAUCUGGUAAUUCACUCACUUCUGUUCCUUGAAUGUCAAGCACUUGAAGGUUUUUCAGCUUGGAUAUGCUCUCUGGAAUAAAACGCAUCUUAGAGCAUCGCCACAAGCUCAAUACCUUGACACCUUGUAUGUGAUUGAUGAAACUGUCAUCCACAUUAGAAAGUCCUUCACAUUUAUCCAGAAGUAAGACAUCACGCACAUGAUUAUCGGAUAGAAAGCUGCCAACAUUCUUUGAGAUGAAUGAAACUUCAGCAAAUGUUGCAUCCCGAAUGCCAAUUGUCCAGUCAUAUCCGAACAGGCAUCCCUUCUCGUGCUCUUGCUGUGAACCGUACUUCCCUUUUAAGAUUCUUAUGCACAGUUUGCGUAGCAUAUCGUGUACAAUUAUACGAUCAUCGUCAUCCCAAGACUUAUUUAUCUUGACCAGGCAUCUCCGUUCCAGUUCAUUGACAAUCGCUGUGGGUGAGAGUUCUGACCCAACCUCCAUCCAACAUUUCCUCAAGUCAGUGAACUCAAUCUCCUCGUCUUCUGGGAAUGCGGCCACAUAAAGAAACCACUCUUGCAAGCUUUUCACCCUCAUAGUUUCCCAGCUCGUCAUAGCUGAACUUCAAGCGCUUGAACAUCUGCUUCUCAACGUCUGGGUCAUUGGACAAGUGCAACCUCUUAUAUCAUUCUUCCCACACAAGUGGCCCUUCUCUUCUGUGGACAGCCAUGGCACUGCCAAUCACUUCCAGGGCUAGAGGAAGUCCCUCACAUUUUUGAGCUAUUUCCUUGGCAAAUCCCACAACAUCAGGGUCACUGGGUUGUGGAUCAUGCACACCGAAGGCAAACUUCCAAAACAUCUUUUUGCUUUCGUCCAUUGAUAGCUGAUGCACAGGAAAUGCCUUUGCAUCCAGGCUGCGCAAAAUGCCUUCCUUUCUGGUUGUCACCAGGAUCCGGCCAGAGGAUGGCUGUGCUAUAAAAUCCAGUUCCUUUGCCCAGCUCCAGUCCCAGACAUCAUCCAGUACCAGCAAGACACGGUUACCAGCAGCAACAUCGUGUGCCAAGUGCUUCAUGUCGUCAAGGGUUCCUCUGGCCCUCUCUUUCAUUUCACCCCAUUCAAGAGCGUUGAGGAGCUGGGCCUUGAGAUCGUCCUCCGAAGCAUCUUUCUUCCAUAGUUGCAGCUAGACAUGCAAAUGUUCCAACAGGUCGACGUUUAAACGCCGUUUAAAACGUUUUUUUCAGGACAAUCCAACAUUUACAUGUUAAAGCCUAAAAUGAUUAAGAAAACACUAAUAUUUACUAAAGACACUUUAAUCUGAUAUUAAGUUUAUAAAACCUAACCAAAUAACAUACUAAAACAAAUGAAAGAACAAGUUUUAGUCGUCUUCCGAUUUGGUUCCUCAAAAUCUUCUUGCAGAUCCAAAAUCCUCUUCCAAUGAGGCUCCAACUCCAGCUUGUCUAUAUCAAUCUCCAACAUCCUCAAACCUUCACUCUCCAGCUUUUGAGCAACCCGCAAGUUUGUGUGAAUGUAAACCAGCUUCUCAACAUUUGUGGGAAGCAAGUGGGACCUAUGCUUUGUUUGUAUCAAGCUCCAUGAGCUCUAAUUCCUCUCGCAUGGAAAAGCACAAACAACUUGGCUUAAAAUCCGGAGAGCCAUGCGACGUAGAUCAGGCAUCUCUAAACCAAAAGAACUCCACCAGGUUACUGGAAACUUUCUAGUCUCCCGAUCUUUGGCAACAGGUAACCUUAUUUGCCGUCCAAGUUGUUGCCGAAACCUCUCAAACUGUGCCUGCAAUCUCAGCUACAAGUCCAGAUCACCUCCACUAUAAACAUGCAUGUACUCCAGCCAGUUCCCGCGUGCCUCAUUGUCCAGCUUGUCGUUCUCCGGGUUAUCCCCCAGAAACAGAGGAUGAAGAGCAAAAGCAGCUCCAUGAAUGACGUUGUGCAUUUGAUACCACCUUGCCUCCUUUAGACCAUGUGAUUCAAGUAGGAAAUCCUUGAUUUGUCCCACUUCCUCAUGUGCAUAAAUUCCGUUUCGAGCUCCCUCAUCCAUCUUCUCAAUCAGCCGAUCAACAGCUUCAAAGAUGAGGCUUGAAGUCGCCCCCUCCCGAUCAGCGAGCCGAAGAACUCAAAGUAAAGGUCCGAGCAAAAUUAACAAAUUCUCGCACCGCUCCCAGAACGAGUCAUCGAGAACACGAGAUCGCAACUCCAGGCCCUCCGGCUUUUUAGACCAGUCAAGUCGCUCCCAUUCUUGGCUCACCACCAUUCUUCGAAGCCCAGAGAGAUUCGUGGUCUCCAGAAGCUGAGACAUCACGAGAAAUAUAAGCAAACCUCGUGGUCACAAGCUUUAUCAGAUCCUGUUUGCAGAAAGUUCUAUAAAGAGUUAGAACCCGUGGCUUUGAGGUGAUGAAGGAGUUGUCUUCGCACAGCCAUCGACCAAAGGCUGCACCCAAGACAGAGCUCCAAUAUCUUCGAACAGCAAGUCCAUAAUGUGGCAAAUGCAGCGAACGUGUACAAUCUGUGGAAACUCCUGCUGCAAAAGCUCCCCCAUGACCACGCAGUUGCUUGCAUUGUCCGUCACCACCUGCACAACGUUUUCCGUGCCAACCUCGGCAAUCACUUGUUUCAGCUGCUCAAACAACCAUGCUCUAGUUUUUUUCGCGUUCUUGCUGUCCACAGCCUUCAGGAAAAUUGAGCCUCUCACAGAACUGACCAUGAAGUUGAUAAAAGACCGCUUCUUGAUAUCAGACCAGCCAUUCGUGACAAUGGUACAACCAUAUGUCCUCCAACUUAGCCGCACAUCUUCAAGCCACUUCUGAACGUUGUUGUAGAUUUGUUGUAGCUCAGUUGUCCGCAACUUCUCAUAUCCCAUGAGGUUGUCAAUCAUUGGACGCCCCACUUUUGCGGCAACUUUCAGCAUUCUCUNNNNNNNNNNNNNNNNNNNNNNNNNNNNNNNNNNNNNNNNNNNNNNNNNNNNNNNNNNNNNNNNNNNNNNNNNNNNNNNNNNNNNNNNNNNNNNNNNNNNUGCCGAUGAUGGGCAUCUGCUGCUUCAAGCCGCACAGGGUUCAGGGGGCCCAGCAGAAUCUAUGGUGGCAAGCACAGAGAACUGGUCCAGUGCUGGGACAAGCAGAGCAGCAAAAUGCAGAUCCUCUGAUGGAAAUUUGGUGACAUUUUUUGAUACUGCUUCGGCUGAGGCACUGGAUGAUGCUGUUGCAGAGUUCUUCUUUGCCGAGAACAUCUCCUUCAACACAAUCCAAAGAGACAACUUGAAGAGAAUGCUGAAAGUUGCCGCAAAAGUGGGGCGUCCAGCGAUUGACAACCUCAUGGGAUAUGAGAAGUUGCGGACAACUGAGCUACAGCGAAUCUACAACAACGUUCAGAAGUGGCUUGAAGAUGUGCGGCUAAGUUGGAGGACAUAUGGUUGUACCAUUGUCACGGAUGGCUGGUCUGAUAUCAAGAAGCGGUCUUUUAUCAACUUCAUGGUCAGUUCUGUGAGAGGCUCAAUUUUCCUGAAGGUUGUGGACAGCAAGAACACGAAAAAAACCGGAGCAUGGUUGUUUGAGCAGCUGAAACAAGUGAUUGCUGAGGUUGGCACGGAAAACGUUGUGCAGGUGGUGAUGAAACAAGUGAUUGCUGAGGUUGGCACGGAAAACGUUGUGCAGGUGGUGAUGGACAAUGCAAGCAACUGUGUGGUCAUGGGGGAGCUUUUGCAGCAGGAGUUUCCACAGAUUGUACACGUUCACUGCGUUUGCCACAUUAUGGACUUGCUGUUCGAAGAUAUUGGAGCUCUGUCUUGGGUGCAGCCUUUCGUCGAUGGCUGUGCGAAGACAGUUACCUUCAUCACCUCAAAACCAUGGGUUCUAACUCUUUAUAGAACUUUCUGCAAACGCGACCUGAUAAAGCCUGUGACCACGAGGUUUGCUUAUAUUUUUCUCGUGAUGUCUCAGCUUCUGGAGACCACGAAUCUCUCUGGGCUUCGAAGAAUGGUGGUGAGCCAAGAAUGAGAGCGACUUGACUGGUCUAAGAAACCGGAGGGCCUGGAGCUGCAAUCUCGUGUUCUCAAUGACUCGUUCUGGGAGCGGUGCGAGAAUUUGUUAAUUUUGCUCGGACCUUUACUUCGAGUUCUUCAGCUCGCUGAUCGGGAGGGGGCGACUUCAAGCCUCAUCUUUGAAGCUGUUGAUCGGCUGAUCGAGACGAUGGAUGAGGGAGCUCGAAACGGAAUUUAUGCACAUGAGGAAGUGGGACAAAUCAAGGAUUUCCUACUUGAAUCACAUGGUCUGAAGGAGGCAAGGUGGUAUCAAAUGCACAACAUCAUUCAUGGAGCUGCUUUUGCUCUUCAUCCUCUGUUUCUGGGGGAUAACCCGGAGAACAACAAGCUGGACAAUGAGGCACGCGGGAACUGGCUGGAGUACAUGCAUGUUUAUAGUGGAGGUGAUCUGGACUUGCAGUUGAGAUUGCAGGCACAGUUUGAGAGGUUUCGGCACAGCUUGGACAGCAAAUAAGGUUACCUGUUGCCAAAGAUCGGGAGACUAGAAAGUUUCUAGUAACCUGGUGGAGUUCUUUUGGUUUAGAGAUGCCUAAUCUAUGUCGCAUGGCUCUCCGGAUUUUAAGCCAAGUUGUUUGCGCUUUUCCAUGCAAGAGGAAUUAGAGCUCAUGGAGCUUGAUACAAACAAAGCAUAGGUCCCACUUGCUUCCCACAAAUGCUGAGAAGCUGGUUUACAUUCACACAAACUUGCGGGUUGCUCAAAAGCUGGAGAGUGAAGGUUUGAGGAUGCUAGAGAUUGAUAUAGACAAGCUAGAGUUGGAGCCUCAUUGGAAGAGGAUUUUGGAUUUACAAGAAGCUUUUGAGGAACCAAAUCAAGCUGUUGAGGAGUUUAGUAUUGAUAUAGGAUGGAAGAUGAUUCGGAAUCGGAAGACGACUAAAAUGGCUUCUUCUUUCAUUUGUUUUAGUAUUUUAUUUGGUUAGGUUUUAUAAACUUAAUAUCAGAUUAAAGUGUCUUCAGUAAAUAUUAGUGUUUUCUUAAUCAUUUUAGGCUUUAACAUGUAAAUGUUGGAUUGUCCUGAAAAAAACGUUUUAAACGGCAUUUAAACGUCAACACAUUUUAACGUUAGCUGCAACUAUGCUAGUGAUUGAUCGAUCGCCUGGAAAUACUUCUUCCACUGAUCCGGUCCCGCAAGAAGAUCACGAUUUCAUAGCUCGGCAUCCGACAUGGCUGCCUCCGAUUCACGGCUUGAGCAAAGCAGUGCCGGAUUGUGACCGAGCAGCGUCAUCGUCUUUGUCUGCCACAUUGAUUGCCGCACUGGAUCAACUGGCCCGAGCGAUUCCCGAUUCCCGGGCAACCAAGAACUGGAAGAGGGCUUACACUGCAAUCAAGAGGCUCAUGGUAACUUUACUUCCUUCAACUUUGGAGAGUUCUUAUGUUCUGUUUCUAGAAUAUAAGAAGAACGACGAGGCAGAGUGCUGUCGGGACUGGAGCUUGGAAUUUGGAGCCUCUACAGCCCGUCACGCUUAUACAUUUCGGGCUUCUCUACAAUCAGUACGUGGAUAGAAGUUUACCAUCCUUCCUGCUAUGGUGGCAGGAGAGCCGAGUAUAUUCUUGUGUUUCUCAUAUGCUCCCAUAUGGCAGUGCUUGUCUUUGAAGCAAUGGCGGGGUCUAGGCAUGAACGAUGGACACAUGUGUGGAGUUUCAACAUUGAUUGCCUGGACGGGCUCAUCACAGCGCUUUAUACGUAAUCGUUGUUUCCCUCUUCGAGGUUUCCCCUCACACUUGUGUUUGUAGGAUUGAAAUGGUGUUACGAAUUUUGGCUCUUGGUUUUAUCAGAGGUCGUCACUGCUACAUGCGGAAUCCAUACAAUAGGCUCGACUUUGUCAUUGUUUUCGAUUCCUGAUAAUGUUGAGGUUUUGUAUUUGAUGGUCGUAAGUGUUUCACCAGCUCUUUGGGAGGUGCAUAACUGCACAUGAUUUUUUCGCGUGGAUAGCCGUGUUCCGCGUGUUUCGGCUAGCGUUGAAGCACGUCACAUUUUUUGCCGAUGUCAUAGUAUGGUUUGUAAAUUUCUGAUUUGUGCAUUGUUAACACUUUACAAUAGACCAUCAUGGCGGCCGUGAAAAAGAGCAUUGGUCCUCUCCAAAACGUUAUCCUUUUGACGUUCUUUCUGUUGGUUUUCUAUUCUCUACUCGGCACACAGAUCUUGCAAAACUCGAUGAAUCAAAGGUAAUCUCGAUAGUUCUUAUCACGUGAUAUCAAAAUCCUCCUGGGCAGGUGCUUUCGAAUAGCGGAGCAACUUGCUUAUCCCAUGCGCUUUUGUGACGAAAAAGCUGCUGGCUGCUACGUACGUCCACCAUUUCAGAACUGUAUGAUGUGUUUUUUCUAUAAGCUCAUUCCUUAUCCAUCUCUUUGUUUGUAGACACACUAGAAUCCCAACCAUGGAGCGACAGCUUUUGAUUAUCUCUGGUAUUCGCUGCUUACCAUGUUUCAGGUUUGUGUCACUUCAUAGCAUCUUAUCGCCUUAGCACACUUCAAAGUGGUCACUCUGCAGGUGAUAACUUUGGAAGGAUGGAGCCUCGUCAUGCAUGAUGUGAAGGAUGCUGAAGGGGAGCGAGCCAGUAAGGCGUUGACAUUGUUUCUUUUAUUGCUUACACAAGCCAUUGCACCACAGAUUCGUACUUUAUGACGUUAAUUGUUCUGGGUACAUAUUUCCUGGCGGACGUUUUCAUCGCCGGUAUCAGUGGUGUAUUUCUUCGUGUUCGAUCAGAGCAUCAGGUGCACACUUGUUUACUGAUUUCCCAUCACCCCCUGUCCCUAGCAUGGAGUUCACAUAUCAACGCUUGACAUCACCAAAUGAUCAGGCUUAAGUUAAGCUGUUAUUAUCCAGGCUUUGCUGAGGAAAGCCCAUAGAACCUCGGUAAGUGCUGAAAGACAAUAUCGUCAAAGCCGACUCGCACAUGCCAUGGUAUAACCGCUUACUCAACAGGUCAAGAAAGGUGUAGCAGAAUGUCGCGAGAGCCUUAAGUCGGACACGGACCUCCCUGCGGACUGCCCUUCAAGCCAGAUCAAUGAGAGUGCGGUCCAGUAGGUCUUUCAGUCGAAGUAUGACGAUAGGAGUUCAAGCAGCGUUGACAGUUUCCGGAAAAGGCCGCGACAUCGUUGAACAUCCCAAGUUUGAGUGGGGAGUACUUCUCAGUGUCACCAUUAACGUCGUGCUCUUAUCGUCCUUCUGGGAUGUCAAAACGGUUGUUGCAUACGCUCAGUAUUCAUUUCACGACUUCCUUUCUAUUCGUUCAGCAUGAUAAAUUUUGUAUGCAGACGGGUUGCAAGCAGUAAUGCUUUUUGCUUUCAGCGGGGAACUUCUGCUGCGCUUUCUAGCAUAUGGUCCUGGCGAUUUUCUUGACGAUGGUGAGUUCUUUGUUCAUGUUGUCUUCUGGUCUGAUCCCGAAAUUUUCAGGAAUGAAUUUGCUGAACUUGAUAGUUGUUUUCACAUCUAUUGUGGCACUCAGUUCUCAUUCGUUUCCAAAUUUAACAUCAAUAAAAAUUAUGCGGUGGUUUUACUCUUCGAAGAAGUAUUUUGCAAAAAUGGGGGUCUUACUGGAUCCGCUUUAGAGGCCCCACCAUCGGUCGUUCCAGCUGCAGAGUCUUCUGAAGCACCGCUGUCGCGUCACAGGCGUUCUUCCCAAGUUUUACAGGUUUCUGGUUUUCCGUCUAAUAUCGGUGAAAGGAGGGGUUCAAGAACCGCACUUCAAGAUGCCGUGAUAACUCUGGACGAGAUUCUCAGCAGUCCAAAAAUUGUCCCCGAUUUCAUCUGGAGUCUGCAGAAGAUCAACUUUGUGGUGAGCACAUGCUUAUCUUAUUUUGCUCGACAUUGUACAUUGUUUUGGAGCAGGUCUUUUUGCUAGACUGUUUGAUGAAGAUCGUUGCACAGGGACUUAUUUUGCGCCAGACGCAUACCUGAGUGACUGGUACAACAUCUUGGACUUGUUUAUUCUCGUCACCGAUGCGCUUAUUCUUCUGAAGUAUAACGCUGAGGAUGAAACUUCCAUACCAACCGUCGGUGCGUUUACUUCUCUUC
Molecule: long non-coding RNA, 57322 nt
Filed under: Selaginella moellendorffii
Lineage: Eukaryota; Viridiplantae; Streptophyta; Lycopodiopsida; Selaginellales; Selaginellaceae
Description: long non-coding RNA (SMOE_LNC000899)
Source: RNAcentral